AUAUAACUGUUAUAAUUUAAAGCUUGCUCUAGACCUCAACUUGUGGGAUGAAAACUUGAUCUGAAGUCUAAGUUGUUAACGGAUACGAUAUGGGAAGGUUGAGCUGCUGUUUAUCUGUUCCUAGAGAUGCUAGAAUUCUGGAGAAUUUUAUCUUUAAAAAUCUUUAAAAUGUUGCAUGAUGAGUUCCUGUAUGAUGAGAGUUUAAAUUCCUACCACAGCCAUAUAUACAUGCUUGCUAGACUUUGAGCCACACAUUUACUAUUUACUGCUUAUGAGCAUUGAGUGUGGUCAAGCUGUGUAGACCCUUAGGAGCUUGUCAUGUGGUUAAAUCAAGAUUCACUUGCACGUUCACUCACAUAUGUUGCUUCUACUCCGGAAGUACCAUCCACAUAUAUCCAUCCAUUUCCAUCUCCAGAACCACCCAAAAAUAUUCUACUCCUAAUCCGGGAGAGAAUGACAAAAAAAAUAUAUUUCUAUUUGUCCCUUGUGAAAUAAAUGCUCAAGUUAUCUUAUUACUACCACUUGCUAUAUUAUCUCAAGAGAUGAGUGCUCUAAAAAAAGAAGAAAAGAUACGAGGAAAUAAAAAGGGGCAAGUGCCCGGAACCUCGAAAGAAAAGAAAAAGUGAGACGAGAGGUAAAAAUGGACAAGUGUCCGACAGUAAAAUUAGGGGUACAAGAUACCCACCUGAGAGAAAAGAAAAAUAUAGAGCAUCUCAUUCUCCUCACAAAAAUUUCAAAAAGCAAGGAAGGUAUGUAUCCCCUCAAAGAGCAAAAGUAGAAUUAGACUUUCACCAUUGUCAUCACUAUACACCAUUCAUUCGCCACACAUGCACAUCUUGAUUUGACUUAUUGAUUUGUUUCUUUGGAUCCAUGGUUUGACUAUACAAUAACUGUCUUGUAAGUAUGUAUAAUUUAUCUCCCACCUAUGAGCUCCAGAUAUUAAAGCCUUGUUAGAGUAGGAUGAGAGAGAAGGCAAUGUCACUAUGCCUUAUACCAUACAUACCACAUACUUUUUGAGAGAAGGCAUAUACCAUCACUGCCUUGGUAAGGAUCCAGAAAUACCACAAAAGAGAGAUUUGAGAGAAUCAUACAAGGAAUCUCUGAGUUUUAUUUGAAAAUCUGCAAAAACUCCAGAGCUAUAGCUGAUCAAGAAUAAGAGACAUGGCACUUAACUAGACUGUUCUAUCUUUUAAUUACUCAAGACAGAAGUGACGGUUACAAGUCCCAUGGUAAAAGGUAAAGUAAGUUUUAAGUCUUGAAAGUUUACUCUAACUCAGAGAUGAGAUCUUAUUUAAAAGCAAGUGUACCGUCAAUUUUCAAAGAUAUUGCAACAACUUCUUAUCCAUCAUUGAGAUUAUCCUUGCCCAGGGACGAGCAAGAGGUAAGCUUGGGGGAGUUUGUUGACGGUCCUUAAGUAUCAAAUUUAAUUAUCAAAUAAACAAAGAAAAUGAUCCAAAUGAAAUCAACAUCUAUACUUAGGGUUUUAUCUGAUAGAAUUCCACGAGUUUUGGUGUUUGUCUAUUUCUAUAAGGGGUUAUCAGGAAAUACAGAAGAAAGGCCCACACGUCGGGAUUACAUAGAGAUAUUAACAUGCCAUGCAAUUAUCUUACAUCUAGAAGACUCGAGAAGCCACGGGAAGGAAGCUGAGGCCGAACGGGGCCAGGCACUGGGCGCCCGCCCAGUUGCCCUGGGCGCCCGCCCCCUGUUGGAGUCCAAACAGGACUCUCUUUCGGGAAAGAUUUCCACCGACCUAAAGGAUCAAGGAUAACCGUUCAAUCAAUGUCGGUUUGAUCCAACGGCCCAUAUUCACUUGAAGGUACUAUAAAACCAAACCCCCUGGCCCCUGGAGGAGAGAGCCUCUCAACCCUAAUUCAUUAUUCUCAAGGGAGAAGAAGCCUCUGAUCAAGAUUAGAGCCACCACAUCAAUUAGAUAUCUAGAUUAGCAUAGCUACAUAGGAUUAGAACUAGAAGGAGUCAAUCUUCGAUUUCUUUCCGUAUCUGUCAAGAGGAUUCUUGGUAAUUCUCUAAUUGUGCUUCUAAUUGUUCUUCUAAUUAUCUUUGUUCUUCAAUAUUAUGAAUAUGACUUUGUUCUACUUCAAUAUAUUGCUUAUGACUUUGCUCUACUUGCUUAUAUUCAAGAUAAUAUUGUUCUUAGUUUAUCAUAGUUAUGUACUUGGCUUAGUUAGAUUGGAUCUAUAUACAUGCUUAGGAUCGUAUAGCGUUUAUCCAUCGGAUCCAUAGGUAAAUGAUAGAUAUUGUGUAGGCGUGGUGCUUAUACCGUAUUUAUCUGCGAUUGUACCCAAUAUGCCAGAUCGUGGGGUAGUUCGUGAUAGUGACAGCUUCAUUGAUUCUUAUAUAGUCCCCCUCUCGUGUAUUGGGCUGGCAGAGCAACAUUAUUACAGGGGAGUGAUUGCUAUGUUUCUCAUUUACCUUUCAUAUAUCACUAUGCAUGGGCGUAGUCUUCUCUCGCAAUGAUUGCUAAGUAUGCUUGCACUAACUAUGACAAUGCUAGACUAUAUAGUUGAGAAUAACUUAGGAAAUAUUCUUGUAGUUCGUUCUAAUACCAUGCUAAUGACUUUCUAGAGUAUGUAAUUGAGGUGCUUAUCAUAUUUAUUAUGUGGCUAAGUUAUGCUGAUCAGAUUAAUUAUCUCUAUCACUAUUCAUUACUUCAUAUAUCUUUUAUGUGACACUUAUCCCUGUAUGAAAGAGUUAGAUAAAUGUUCUCAAUUAUAUAUGCAAUGAUAGAUAUUCAAUCUCAUAUUCUAUUCUGUAAUCAAUAUUGAUGAUUGUUAAUCCAUUUCCAGUGGUAAAAAUAUAAAUAACGAUACCUAGAAUACUUUCCGGUUAAAUUGCUACAUCGGUAUUAAUCUGUGCGCUUGCAGAUCCCAUUCAUUAUUUAUUUAGAAGAGCAAUUGCAUAUUUCAAUACCGUGUCUCUUAUAUCAUGCUGGGGAUGACAACUUGGCUUAAGUGGUAUGAGGGAUAGGUUUGGCAUUUUUGGCACCGUUACUAGAAUUAGAAAACUAAGUUUACUUUUGGUAAUGAUGUUAAGAAUACCCAACAACCCACGCUCGAUUAAACCCACCCCUAGCUCCGCCUCGACAAGCGCAAUCUCGUGCGCACGCUCUCGGCCGUCCGCGUCAAGGUAUUAGGUGAGAUUUCACCGCCGCGACAUGGCCGGAGCUCCGGCGAGCUCUCGGUCCGCGCGAAUCUUCCCUUCCAGACCCCCUUUCUCUUCGUUUGUUUGCGCGUUGUGGUCGCCGUGCUCCCGCGAACCCUAAGCACCCCUCCGUUCGCACUCGAUCGGCACCGAGCUCUGGCGUAGGUGCCCUCCGCGCCACCGAAGACCUCACCGUCGGCGAGAGCCGGCCGGCCGAAGUCGGCCGGAGUGCUGCAUGGCUGACCCGUGGGGACACAACCCCUGGGUCCCGCCUGUCAGCGCCUCUGCAGGUGUGGAUCUGGGUGGAUCUAGCGUUUUCCGUCGGUUUUCUUAAAUAAAGGUUUUCCAGAAAUUGAUUUAAAUGAUGAAAAAUCCAUAUCUUGAGAUGCAUGGCUCGAAAAUUGAUAAAAUAAAUUUUGAUGUGUUCUAUAUUCACAGAUCUAUAGUUUGGUAUGGUUGCAUAUCAUGUUUGAUCAACUUUUCUGUACAAAUAUAUUUGAUCCAUGUUUUUGCUGAAUUUGGAAAAUACAUAGUAAUUAAAAUAUAGCUCAGAAAAAUAUGAAACUUGUUUUGUUGGUUCUGUAUGGGUGAUUAGGCUCAGGGACAAAUAUGUUACACAUUAUUUGCUGUAUGAAUUAUUUUAUGAUAAUUUAAAUGCUUGCAUGGCAGUGGUUUAUCAUUUUUAAUAAAUAAUUGGAUCAUGGAAUUAAUCUGGAAAUUUUUGUGGGUGUUUCUUAUGAUAAUAAGUAAAUUAUAAAAAUAUGAAAUCUGCUGUUUGACACUUACACAACAAUAGGAUAAUUAUACUUAAUUAUAUGGGUUGAUCUUCUGAUUUUCGUAGCUCAAAAUAAAUGUCCAAAUAUUAUGAGAAAUUUAUGGUAGACUCUAUGGUUGACUAGUGAUCUGCUAUAAUUUUUGUGGAAUUUAUGGAUAAGCAAAAAUAUAUGCUAUUUUUGUAGGCCUAAAAGUGGAUAAAUAAAUUAUAAAUUUUUUAUACAUAGAUUAAAUGAAGUAAAAUGAUGUUUGGUGUAUCUUUGAAGCAUCAUGUGAGUUUGCUGGUUAACCAUGAAUACAAUUUGUAGAAGAGAAUGCAAUAGAUGCUUAAUUCAAUUGCACGUUCUUGGAUGAUGUUGACUACCUUGUAGAAAUGACCACCUAUAUCAUCUAUGCACUAUGUCAUAGUCAUCUGUUACCUACUUUCAUAAGCAUUGCACCCCGGGCAUCUCGCAUUUCACUCAUGAGCACACAUGCAUCAUAAAGGCUCGUAGGAGAACGAGGUGGGACCCAAGGAGCAAGAGGAGACCGAGGAGCAGGAACCUCUGGGAGGACCGGAGCCCGGAGAAGAGCUGCAGGAGUGCCCGGAUCACAAGCCGAGCACGUUUGAGAAAGGCAAGCCCCGGAGCAUUUUAAGUCUCCCUAUUCUCGGUAACAUAAAUGAUGUAUUAUGCUUGUUCUACUAUGUGCAUUUAAGUGAUAGGAAUUGCUUGAUACCGUUGAUGCAUGUGUACUCCUUGAUAUCACCACUUGUUUAUCUGCCUUGUCCUAUGUAGAUAGGUACGGAGUCCGUGCUUAGUUUGCUUAGUCCGGUAGAAGUCGGGUGAUUUCCUGUCACCUGCGAGAUAUAGGUGGAUACCUGCUUGAUUAAGCGGUGAUUGCUUUGGGAAAGAAUAACCAAGUGUGGAAGGGAAUUUGAGGCCGGGCAGGGUCUUAUGGUGGGUUGACCGUAGUGCCCCUGCCUGUGUCGAUUAAGGACCGAUCGUUGACUGUGCUCUUGUCAUGUUGAACGCAUGGCCCACACUUAGCUGGAAGGAUAAGUCGUUCCGACCGCGAAGCCUGAACACUAUCCGCGCCGGGAGUCGAGCCGCCAUGCGCUGUAUUGGUGAUGGUUGAGGAGAACAACGAGAGUGCGGCGCGCAACCUUGGUAUACCUUGGAUACCUCGGUCGCCGGAACGGUCCUCGGGAACUGGCGGUGCCUGCCGAACCCGCGAAUUGGUCCUGGAUAGUGUAACACGGUGAUCUGUAGCUCACUUGAUCAGUGAGUGUGGUUUGUGUGGGGAAUACCUCGCCAGCUGGUUAGAAAUCGAUUCGAAUCGCCAUCGCUCCUAGAUAGUGAACACUUAACAUGAGCCCUGUCCUCGUAGUAAGGACUAUGAAACACUUGGGUUAUAAUGAUAAAUGAUCUAUGAAUGCUAUGAUGAGGUACAAUCAUAUUACUACAUUUGUUUGCAAUAAUGUAGGUGCAAACCUAGAUAAUAGGUAAUGAUACUUUGAACUUGAGCUAAUUAAAAGAAGAAAGGUUUUCUUUAGGAUAUGUUUAGUGCAAUAGUGCUUUCAUGCAAAAGUCUCAGCUACCCCACUAUAUUGCCUUCAUGAUCCUUGAAGAGUCUUUAUUUUUGGUUUAUGACGGGUAAGUCUAGCUGAGUACAUUCUCGUAGUCAGGGUUUUACUCCCAUGUUGUUUUGCAGAUGGUCAAAUGUACUAUGGUUAUUGCAUUCUCUGCUUGUACCCAGCCAUGGGCGAUGACUAGACCAAGGGCGAUGGUCACUCUACCUCCUCUUUUGCUUUUGUGGGAAUGACUGAACUAUGGCACUGUAUCAGACUAAGUAUGUGUGUGUUAUUUUCGAACUAUGAAGCAUCUGCUACUUGAGAACUUGGUUUGUAAUAAUUUUAAGAACUCUAAUGUAUUUUAUGAAUGUCGCAAACUAGAUGUAAGUGUGAAUGGUGACCGCUAAACUUAUUACGAUCUUGGUUGUAUGUACGAUAUGUGGUUUGAAAUCCUUCAAGAUUUCACGGACUACCGGGAUUAUAUGGGCUUAAGCUCGAUGGUUUGACUGUGCAAAUGGUCACUAUUAGGCUUAAUCUCUUAUAAUUUGGUUGGUUCUGUUACAGCUGGCAUCGAAGCAAGGUUUAGCGAGUUACUGUUCAUGUGUACGUUCUAAACUAAACUUAAACUGGUUUAAUAAAAGAUUAUUAUUAAGUAAUGAUAAUCAAGGUGUCAAACUAAGAUUUUGGAAAAAUUAUCUAGUGUGUCAUGGUCAUAUCCUUUAUGCCCAGUUAAGGACUUUAAGGUGGCUAGUUAAGUGCUGACUUGAGGUUAAUGCAUCAUAUUUCUAUUUCGUCGCUCAUACGGCGUGCAAUAGUAUGAGUACCAUUCAUUUGAGUGGUAAUGUAUGGAUCAAUUCUUCCUCUACGCCUCGGUAAGUGGGAGCUGUGAGAGCAUGAUCGGAUACACUGCCGAUCUGGGGAAGUGUUGUUAAGGUGCUGUGUCAUGCACACAUGUUCGGUGUGCCUGGGAACAGUACCGCAUGUUGGGAGAUUCCGUCCUGAGAGGCGAUGCCAUCACUAGGGCGAUGAUGUGGGUAGUAACACGUCAUGUGCAUGGACGGUGUGUCUAUGUGUGUGGGGUGUAUAGCUUUAAAUUCUUGUUCUGCAUAUUCAUGCCGUGGCUGGGCUGAAAUGAGUUUCCUAUAGGUACACUAACCACGUUCCCGCCUAGAACGUUAGUUAUGUAUGAGAGAACGUUGUGUGCCACUGCAUAUACCGAUUAGUGUCAACUUUGUUUCUAAGUUUGUGAGAUCUUAAGUCCGUGCAUGCAUCAUGUUCAUUUCAUAUCAUUGCUUACUUCCCUCCCUUAAAGUAAAUCUGUCCCAAUUUUAAUUAAGUUAAUAAAAGGUACUCCUCAAUCUUACCCAAGGUAUUCCAUUUGCAGCAGAUGGCACGCACUAGGCUCACCGCUCGCAAGUCCACUGGUGGGCUGGCCCCUCGCCAUCAGUUGGCAGCCAGGAGCUCACGUCAUAAGAGCAAGUUCUUGGAGGAGUUUGGGAUGCCCACCUUGCUAUGGAGGGUGCUCAGUUCGAUGGGGUAUCCCGAAGGAAGGGAACCUCGCUACUAUUGGAACAAGGAGCAGCUUGGUGACGGUACCCUGGUGGGGAUCGAGGCAGUGGUCCCUCCUAGUGGAGGUGACCCCGCCUAGGGUGGUUGGGUGUACGAGUCUCGAGGUACCACACCUUUCCACGGUGCCAGCAGGGCAGCUUUCGCAGUUCUGAGGGACCUCAUGGAGAGGUUUCCACAGGAGUUGGCCCACACCUUCGCUGAGGUGUUUCCCCGGGGUGACCCCUACACUUCGGUGUGGGAUCAGUCCGUGGUGAAUGCUCAUGAGAGGAGUGCGGAUGAGGACCAGCACAGUGACAGCGCAGCUAUCAGUGCUAUGUAUGCCUUGAUGAAGACCUAUGGGGGCCUAGAGCGUUGUUUGGGGCGCUUGUCCGGGUCUCUUCUCAAGAUUCAGGAUGAGAAACGUCAGCUACAGCAUGAGUUUGACACUGAGGUUGAGAGGUUGCAGGCAGAGUUAGCCCACGUGACCCGAGAGAAGGAUCAGGCGGUCCAGAAGAACAGUGAGGUGAGUCAGGACCUGCUUUCAGUGAGAGAGCAGAGGGACAGGGUGACUACUGCUCACAGGAACUGCGAGCGCAUGCUAGUUCAUGUGCUUGGUCAGAGGAAUGAAGCCUGGCACGAGGAGGACACCCUAAGAGCCCGACAGCUACAGCUCGAGCAACAGCUAGCCAAUGCGGAGGAGUACAAUGAGAACCUGCAUGAGGACAUCCACCAGCUGCAUAACCAGCUCCACCCUCACCACCUGCCUAGAGCAGCCGAGUUAGACUCUGAGGAUGAGAUGGAUGAGUGCCCAGAGAUGGGGGCAGCUGCUAGUGGAGAUGAGGAUGAGGAGGGCUCCGGCAUGGAUAGCGACCAUAGCGAGUAGAUGCUUGGGCUCUACAGCUAGUCCUUCUUCUUUUGAUGUUGUUGUUGCAUGUCAUGUCUUGUAAUCUUGGAUCCGGGCUGUGUAAAACUUCAUGUGAUGACGCUGAAAGUCCAGUGUACGUAUGCUGGCAAUUUUGGAUGUAUGCAAACUUUGCUGCUUGAAUGUUAAGUAAUCUGUAGUGAUGUUGUGUGUGGAUGAUGAAUUGUUGUGCCUCUAUUUAUUGUGCGAAUUUAUUUCCUCAGUAAAUUCAGUACGGCAUAAUGCUACACAUGUCUAUAGUUGGUGGCAACUUCUAACGAUUGCUUAUCACUGACGCAUGCAGAUGGUGCAAACACAUGGCGGGGGUAACAGCAACCCCGGUCUUGGAGCAGGUACUUAUGGAGGUGGGGCUCAACGGAAUGAGGAAAGAGCACCAUCACCGCCACCACCACCGCCUCCUCCGUACACUGUGGACGUGUUUUUCGCGCAGUUUCUAGGGAGCCAGCGCAACAUGGAACAGAUGCAGCGCAACAUGGAAUCAGCCCUGCGCAAUAUUGCUGACAAUACCUGCCGUGGGGAUAACCAGGGCGGCCGUGAAGCCAAUCAAUACAGCUCUUUCAAGGACUUCAUGGAUACCAAACCACCAGUCUUCAAGGAGGCCUUAGCACCGCUCGAGGCAGAUGAGUGGAUCAACACCAUGGAGCAAAAGUUCCAUCUUCGGAUGACUGAAGAACUUAAGGCUGAGUAUGCGGCACAUUAGUUGCAGGGACCUGCUGGGAUUUGGUGGUCCCAUCACCGUACCACCUACCCAGAGGGGACCCCAAUCACCUGGAACUGCUUCACCACCGUGUUUCGGGGAAAUUACAUUCCUCCGGGUGUGGUGGAAAUGAAGGUUGGGGAGUUCAUGAGGCUAUCCCACAGAACGAAGUCUGUGAAGGAGUAUCUACACGCUUUCCAUAAUCUUGCUCGCUACGCCCCCGAGUUUGUGAACACGGAGGCCAAGAAGAUCGCUAGUUUCUAGAGAGGCUUGAACCCAAAGAUGCUGAAGACCAUGGGUACCGGAGCCCGGGCUACAGUGACUGUCUGACCUAGGAAAAUAAUAACAACAACUACAGUGCAUCCAGGUCUCGUAAGAGGGCUUUCAAAGCCGGGUCAUCUCAGUCGAGGGCACCGGUGGCAGGGCGAUAGCAGUAUCGUCCUCCUACCCCAGGUGCUAGGUUCCAAUCGCUGGAGAGAAGGAACACCGGGCAUCCAACGCAGCAGAAGCCGUACAAGGUGGCAAUAGCUCCUGCCAAGCCAAAAGUAGUUCAGGCUGCGGCACCUGCCGCCAACAACAUGACCAAGGGGCCAUGCUACAACUGCCACAAGAUGGGGCACUUUGCUAAGGAAUGUCCCUACCCCAAGAGGCAGCAGACGACCUACCCAGCACGAGUGCACCAUACCUCGAUAGAGGAAAUCUCAGAAGGAGAACCGGUAACAGCUAGUAUGUUUCCUAUCAACCAACACCUUGCAGUUGUUUUGUUUGAUUCUGGAUCAUCACAUUCAUUCAUGAGCCAAGCAUUUGCACAAAAGCAUGACCAAACAGUUAUAGAUUUGGGUUAUGGCUAUCGCAUCAGCUCAGCAGGGGCAGAUGUGUUGACAAAUAGAGUGGUCUGAGGGGUAACCUUGGAUAUAAGUGACCGGGUGUUUCGAGUAAAUCUGGUAGUUAUGCCUGGGUUAGUUUUGGAUGUUAUCAUGGGCAUGAACUGGAUGAAAGAGUGGGAUGCUGUCAUAGAUACUGGGAAGAGGGUGUUAUCCCUCAGAGAACCUCAGGGCAGUGGAUCUUUUCAAGUACCUCUGCCCCGUCGCUUGGACUUUGCUAGCUUCUAUUUUGCUACGCACGUGGUUCCUCUACCACAGAUCUCAAUAGUCUGUGGGUUCCCUGAUGUUUUUCCUAAGGAAUUGCCAGGACUUCCCCAGAUAGGGAAGUAGAGUUCGCAAUAGAGUUGAUACUAGGUACCACACCAAUAUCUAGAAGGCCGUACCGGAUGCCGCCUAAUGAACUCACUGAGUUGAAGAAUCAGCUGAAGGAGUUACUGGAUAAAGGGUUCAUCCGCCCAAGUUCGUCGGAAUGGGGUUGUCCGGCGUUGUUUGUGAAAAAGAAGGAUCAAUGCGGUAGCAAUCAAGAAUAAGUUUCCAUUGCCAAGGAUUGAUAUCCUGUUUGAUCAGUUGUCCAAAGCCAGAGUGUUUUCCAAGAUAGAUUUAAGGUCCGGGUAUCACCAAAACAAGAUCUGUCCGCAAGAUAUCCCGAAGACUGCUUUUUCCACCAGAUAUGGGUUGUACGAGUAUCUGGUCAUGCCCUUCGGGUUGACAAAUGCUCCUGCAUACUUCAUGUAUCUGAUGAAUUCGGUCUUUAUGCCAGAGUUAGACAAGUUUGUUGUGGUGUUCAUCGACGACAUUCUGGUUUAUUCUGAGAAUGAGCAAGAUCACGCCGAGCAUCUAAGAGUCGUGCUAACAUGACUACAAGAGCAUCAGUUGUAUGCAAAGUUUAGCAAGUGUGAGUUCUGGCUGAAGAGAGUUCCUUUCCUAGGGCAUAUUCUGUCUGAAGAAGGGAUUGUUGUGGAUCCGUCAAAGGUACAGGAAGUUAUGGACUGGAAGGCACCAACUUCUGUCUCGGAAGUUCGAAGCUUUCUUGGCCUAGCCGGGUAUUACCGUCGUUUCAUACCCGACUUUUCCAAGAUUGCUAAGCCAAUGACCAGUUUGUUGCAAAAUGAUCAUAAGUUUGUCUGGACGGAAGGGUGUGAACUAGCCUUCCGCACUUUGUGAAAGUUACUAACCGCCGCUCCCGUUUUAGCGCAACCCAAUAUCGAGAAGCCUUUUGAUGUGUUUUGCGACGCAUCGAAAAGUGGCUUGGGAUGUGUGCUGACGCAAGAUGGCAGAGUAAUAGCUUACGCUUCACGAUAGUUAAGGAAGCACGAAGUCAACUACCCAACUCACGACCUCAAGUUAGCAGCAGUGGUGCACGCUCUGAAGAUUUGGAGGCACUAUUUGUUAGGAAAUAAGUGUCAUAUAUACACAGAUCACAAAAGUCUGAAGUACAUCUUCACUCAGUCCGAGUUGAAUAUGAGGCAAUGACGAUGGUUGGAGCUGAUCAAGGAUUACGAUCUAGAAGUCCAUUAUCAUCCGGGCAAGGCUAAUGUGGUAGCAUAUGCUUUGAGUCGCAAACCGCACUAUCAAGUGGUUCAACCGUUGUUUGAGGAUGGGUUCAAUCUCAUGCAUCCUGAAGUCUUAUGUCACAUACAGUUCAGUUGUUCACUGGAAAGUCAAGUCACCGAGGGUCAGAAAACAGACAAGGGUAUUUUCCACAUCAAAGAAAAGAUCAAAAAUGACCCAAGGACUCAGUUCAAAGUUGAUGAAAAAGGGGUAUUAUGGUUUCAACACUGGCUGGUAGUCCCGAAGAAUCGAGAAUUAAAGAACCGCAUCAUGGAUGAAGCACAUCUCUCCAAGCUUUCUAUUCAUCCUAGUAGUAGUAAGAUGUAUCAAGACCUAAGAUCUCACUUUUGGUGGACUAAAAUGAAGAAAGAAAUAGCAGCAUAUGUGGCCCGUUGUGACACAUGUUGUAGAGUCAAGGCUAUACAUAUGAAACCUGUAGGUCUGUUGCAACCGUUGUCUUCCAGAGUGGAAAUAGGAAGAGGUCAGCAUGGACUUUAUCACAGGUUUACCUACAACGCAAAAGGGGAAUGACUCGAUUUGGGUAAUCAUAAAUCGAUUAACCAAGUCGGCUCAUUUCAUUCGUGUUAAGACUCGCUACAGACCUCCCGAGUAUGCUGAUCUGUAUCUAGCUGAGAUUGUUAAGUUGCAUGGUAUUCCCUGGACCAUCAUAUCAGAUAGAGGACCGCAGUUCACCGCUCAUUUCUGGGAGCGAAUGCAUAAGAGUUUGGGAACUAGUCUGAUAAGAAGCACAGCGUAUCAUCCCCAAACCUCGGGUCAAAUGGAAAGACUCAAUCAAGUACUAGAAGAUAUGCUCAGGGUUUGUGUGUUAUCAUCCAAGGGAUCAUGGGAAUCGUGGUUGCCUUUGGCUAAGUUCUCAUACAAUAAUAGCUAUCAAGAGAGUAUCAUGAUCGCCCCGUUCGAAGUGUUUUAUGAUAGUAAGUGUAGGACUCCGUUAGACUGGGUCGAACCUGGUGAAAGGAGAUACUAUGGCAUCGACUUCGUAAACGAGGCUGAGAAAAAGGUGCAAAUCAUACAACAACAUAUGCAGGCGGCACAAUCACGACAAAAGAGUUAUGCCGAUAAGAGGAGAAGGCCACUUGAAUUCAAUGUGGGUGACUAUGUUUACCUCAAGGUUACGCCAAUGAAGAAAGUGCAGCGUUUCCGGGUUCGAAGCAAGCUUGCACCCCGAUAUGUGGGACCGUACCAGAUACUAGAAAGAAAAGGCCCCAUGGCCUACAAGAUUCAAUUACCUGAAGAGUUGAGUUCAAUCUUUCCAGUUUUCCAUGUGUCCCAGCUACGGAAAUGUUUGAAGGUACCCGAGCAAAGGAUUGAACCCCGAGGAAUCAAAAUAAAGGCAGACUUAGAAUAUAAAGAGUAGCCAGUGGGUAUCAUGGAUGCCAAGGAGCGGGUAACCCGGAAAAGAGUUGUCAAAACAUAUAAGGUGGUGUGGAGUCAUCAUGAUGUAACAUCCCCGAUGUUACGGUUACUAAAAGCGGAUCAUGUCAUCAUGAGCAUUGCAAAGCAUAUUUGUUAAGCAUAUUAGUAUGCAUCAACUUAAAACAAGUUUACUUUGAUUGCUUGAGCUUAGGGAAGUAGAGUGUGCUUUUGUUGUGUGUUGAUGCUUGCUAAAACCCUAGGGUGGAAGUUUUCCGAAAAGCUAGGGGGGGAACCCUGAUUUUGGAACCCUAAAUUUGCCCCCUUUUGCAUAACUUAAAAACCAAGCAAAAUUUGAGGUUGAGUUCAAAAGCAAAGUUGUGGAUCUUGUCAAGAUAUACAACUUUGGUGUUUUGAGUUUUUGAAGUUUCAAUAUAAAAUUCAAAGUAAUUUUGAAAAUACAGAUUUCCAAAAAGUGUCCCCUUUUCUAACUUAAAUCCCCAAUUCAAAAUCCAUUUGGAAUUUUGAAAAGUGGUCAACAUGAAAGUUGUAGAGCACAAAAAGUUAAGCAACUUUCAUGUUGGGAGUUUUUCAAGUUGUUAUGCAAAAUCAAAAGUAAUUUUGGAAAUCAUGAUUUGCCCCAAUUCAAAAUUUGAAUUUCCUUUGAAUUGAGUUUGAUUUUCAAACUGUCUGGCAAAAUUAACCUUUUUCCAUUGAGAAUCAGCUUGGGACACCUAAAUAUGAUUUGUAGCUUACAAAAUUUGGCACAACUUUUGUUUUGGUGGAAAUUUGACUUUAGUUCAAGUUUUGGUCGGAUUUCACAAAAAGACAAAUUGAAUGGAUAUGGUCUGCUACAGUGUUCGGUAGGGGGGGGUGCUUUGCCGCCGCGGCAGAGCCGCCUCCGCGCGCGACGCCACGCAGCUAGCCACGCAGCUGCUUGCUGCUGUGCUUCGCGUGGACGGCCUCAUCCACAUCCCCUGUUCCGCCGCUUGGAUAAAGCCUCAGACGGCCGGAGUUUUUCUUUUUCUUCCUUUGAACCUCACCGCCGACCACCACCAUCCGCCGCCAAAAUUCGUCUUCCUCGUUGCCGUUCCAAGCCAUUUGAGCACCCCCGCAGCUCCGCCUUGAGCCCCGCCACCGAUUGCACCCCCAAACACACGCUCUACCCUACCGUAGCUCCUACCCGCGCCGUUUCCCUCCUCAACUCCGGCCGAGCGCCGCCGCGAGCACGUCACCGUGGCCAGCGUCAACCGGAGCCUCUACGCUGCCGCUUCUUGCUCGGUUGUAGUCGUGGUGAGCCCCUGGUGCUUUUGCGCUGCUCCAGUCACGCUCUACUCGCUCGUAGUGGCCGGCGUUUGCUCGGCCGAGGCGGCCGUCCGCCGUGCCCGUGGUCACGGGGGUUAGGAUAGAGGAGAGUGGGAGAAAAGGGUGUCCCUGGGUGCGCGGGAGGUUGAGGAAGCUAACGCGUCUCACCGCGGAGGCCGAGAGCUCGCCGGAGCCGCGGCGCUAGGAAGGAGAUGGAGCUGACGAGCGGGACCCGCCCGUCAGCGACCGCGUGAGAGAGAGAGGGAGAGGGCGCUGAGCGCGGGAGAGCUCGCGGGCCGUCUUGGGCCGGGUCCGAGCAGGCCGCCAGCACUACACAGUGCACUUUUUCUUUUUCCUUUUUGUUUAAAAACGUUUGAUAUUUGAAUUUGAAUAUUGAAUUGUGUAGUGGUCCAAAAAUAGUGAAACUUUUUGGGUAGGUUCCAGAAAAUGUAUAGAGCCUAGGAAAAAUAUUAGAAUUUAUUUCUCUGAUAGUUUGCAUGUCUAUAAAAAUUGGCUCUUUAAUUAGUGAAUAAAACUUCUAGGAAUUUUAGUAAUUUAUUAGGGGGUCCAAAAAUCAACAAAAAUUGUGGAGAGCCUCUGAGUGGUAUUCCCUGGCUCCACACAAAAAUUUGGUGGCAUUUGGAUAAUGUUUGAUUAAAAUACUAAUAAAUCCUUAUUUAGCACUUAAAUAAUAAUUCCAAAAUAAUUAAAUAGUGAUUAUUUAGAUUCUCAUAAUUAGGGUUGAGUGAUUUUGGGAUUGUGUGAUGACCUGAGGUCGUUAACCCUAAUGACCUUUGGCAUUUUAUUAUUAUUUAGCCUUAAUGCUUAAUUACUGUCAUUAGUAGUUAAUUAAGAAUUAAUUAAGGUAAAUAGGAUUAAUAAUUAACUAAAUUAAGAUAAUUAUGAAUUAAAUAAAGUUUUAGUUUACAGAUGCAACCUCUUGGGUAAAAACAUUAAGAUAUUAAACAACUUUACUUAUUGAUUAUUCUGUAUUGCAUCAAAAAGGCAAGUUGUACUCGAUUCGGUCCUUCUUGCAUAAUUGUCAUACGCAUAUCAUGAGCAUUCAUCAUUUUGCGUAUAGUGUCCGUGACCGAAGGAGCGCCCGUUGAACCGAACCCCGAGCUCGGUGCUCCGUUCGAGGAAGUCGGAUCCGAGACUUGGGAAGUCUCCGAGGGUCCCUCUCUGCCCUACAACCAAGGCAAGCCCCGGAUGCAUUAACCCCUCCUUGGAUGUUUUAAAUCUUUUAUCACUUAUGAAUUGAAAAUGCUGCAUUAGGUAGUUGAGAAUUGGGUCAACCUACUUGCUGCAUUUACUACCUUGAUAUCUGUAUCCUGUCCUUGACACCUGUUUUAUUUUAAAACUGCGUAGCGAUGCUUAGCCCUGCUACUAGAUAGGUUUUUUUUUAAAACAAGAAAGUUUGAAGGGUUGUUGUGGGAUACACUUAUGAUCAAUGAUGUUUCAAUUUGAGACCGGUUGGUGGACUUGCUCGAAGAAUGGAGUCUUAAAGUAGUGUCUCCGACUGUGUCGAUUAAGGACCGUUCCGUUGAUGGCCUGCUGGGUUGAGAAUUUAUAGUACUAACCGCUUGCCCUCGGUAAGCCCAGUCUUGUGAUCCCUCGACGCGAACAGCUACUCGCGCACUGGGAGUGGAAAGAUGGCGAGAGUAACGUGUGCCCACCUUACGGAUCUGAGAUGACCGGAAAACAUCUAGAUCGGCUGUAGGAUGGUGGGGUACUGUGCUCUCGGGUGCCGCGAACCUGGUCAGAUUUGGGGAGAGCUUGAUUUGGGUUGAUAUAUGCAAGAUUUGGUUCUACAUAUGUCGGGUGGUUAGGAACUCCAGCUGGAUUGCUAAGCGAUUCGAAUCGUCGUUGCUCCCCGAUUGGGAGACUCAAUUCCUUCGACCCUCAUCGUAUGUAAAUAAGCAACUGAAUGAUAAAAUGAGAAAGGGGAAAAUGUCUCAUGAGGUUCGGAUCCCAAUUCCCGGACUCAUAGCGACAUGAAGCUAUGGCCAUCGAUAAAUAAUACUUGACGUUAGGAUUAGGAACUCACGGAUUCGUCUGUGAGGAACAACUAGUUAAACUAUCCUCGAACUCCUCGGCCUUUGCGGGAGAGGAAUUCGCGGUUAAAACUUGAAAACAAGGAUGCACUACUAGUAAGCUUUUAGCAAAACAUUUUGGCUCCUUGCUCAGCCUCCCCUUGUCUACCCUAAACCUGCAUCCCUAAGUUCUCCUCUUUUCCCAUCGGGUAAGUCUUGUUGAGUACUCCCGUACUCAGGGUUUCAAUACCCCUGUUGCAGGUGAAGCACAGGAGCCAACUUGUUUCGGACCCUGUUGUGUGACCGUCGUCGAGGUUGACGACGAGGAAGAGUGAGCGUGACCCAUGGGCAGGGUCUGUAAAUUUGUGAUGACUGUACUAAAGUUUAAGUUGCUCCGCUGGACCAGGCUUGUAAUAACACUCUACUAUUUGGAAGAACUCCUUUUGUAAAUUAAGUUAUGUAAUACUUCCGCUGUUUUACUCUGAAAUAUUAUUUUAGUCUUGUGUCGUUUGAGUUACUGCUUUAUCUUCGCAACGAAUGAUCCUGGUGUUAAGGUGGCCACUUGCUAUCCUGUAAGGGCGAGAAGAAGCAGUUCUCAUUGUUUGACAUUGCUAGUGGUCAGAACGAGCCAGCUUGGUACGCCACAGGUAGCAGUGGAAUGAGCGUCCAACGAUGCUCAUCGGACUUCUAAGGUGGGAGGACUCCCGGCAUCACCGUCAGAGGUCCUUAGGACAAUAGCAGGUGCCGGUGGGCCCAAACACUUAGGGGGUUCUGCCACAACUGGUAUCAGAGCAUUCGUUGCUAAGAUGACUGCUGUAACUAUUGAAAAACUUCGAAAUUCGUUUGGAUCUAAUACUAUGAACCUGACUAUUUUGAGUCCAAGUGCUUAGUCCUAACCUACCCCUGUCUAUAGGCUUUCUUAGAAUUUUUGUGGUUUGGAGGAGCAACAUAAAGUAUUGCCCUAUGUUGUAAAAAUUUAAAGUAAUAUCGUUACGAAGUGUUAGUGGGAAUCGUAAGUUUGUGCAUGCAUCAUGACGUAUUAACUGGUUAAGUUCCUUCCUCCUUGUUUGGGUUGGGUGAAUAGAAUCAAUCCUAUUCUUGCUAACCUUUAAGGUCUCUCUUACUAAUCUAAACUUACCCUCUACAGGAUGGCUCGUCAGAAGCAGACCCCGCGUAAGCGGACCGGUCCAAAAGGAGUUCCCCGACAUCAGCUAGCUCCACGCAGUGAUCAAGCCAGUAGUAGCCGUUCGCCACCUCAGCAGGAGGUGGACAGGUUGUCCGCCGAGUUGACUGAGGUGAUGAGAGAGAGAAUGUACAAUGUUAUGGAGAUUGGCAACCUUAAAGCUCAACUGGCCAAAGAAAAACAAGCUACGGAGAACUGUGAGGCUAUGUUGUCCCGGAUGGUGGAGGAGCGGAAUGCAGCCAUUGCACGAGAGGAAGAAGCUAGGAGUACCCACAGGCAUGAGCUAACUAGGAUGAAUGCAAAGCUGGGCAAGGCCAGGUAUCUUAAGGAUUUGUACGUGAAGAUGGCGGCCACGGUCACCGCACAGCGGGAUGUCGCGUGGCAACGAGAGGACCAGCUCCAGCUAGAGAAACUGGAGCUGGCACAUCACUUAGAUACAGUCAAUGACCUGGCUAUGCAAUAUUGUGAUAUUGCAUUUGAUCUGUAUCAUCAACUCCACCCACCUCCCGGCGAAGGGGAAAUGGAUACGGAUGGCGAGUUGGUAGACGAUGGGGAACCUGAUCCCGGCCUCAGUGAUGAAGAGGAGUCCGACCCCGAUGACCACAACCCAGGGGGUAAUCAGGAUGAUGGCAAUGACGACCCGGGCUACAGCUCUGGCCACACCGAUUAGUUCGGUGAAACCGAGGGCAACGUCGUUGUAGGAGUUCUAGCUUGCCGUAGUGGGGUUUGGGUUUGUAAUAUAAGUUCUCUUUCGGUUUGAGAAGUGUACCUGUUUACUCUUGGUGUGUUGAACUAAUGUUUAAUAAGUGAAUGGAAGAAUGUAAGAUAUGUUCUGUGUUGUGAAUUUCACGUGGUAACAGGUAUCUACGAUUCUUGUAACAGAUGCCGAUGCGUACUCGCGGAUCUGAGGGAGCUGGGACAUCCCAGGGAGGGGAUGAUAUCCCCAACCCUCCACCUGCUCCACCUUCUUUGGCUGACGCCAUUGCUGUUCUGCUAAGUGCCACAACUGACAACGCUCGCUUGCUGCGCGAGCUAGCACAGCGUCAACCACACCCUGCUCCAAACUUCAGGGCACCACGCAACGGGGACGGAGAGACUCGGUAUGUGGACUUUACCGAGACCAGGCCCCCGGUGUUCACUAAGGCCGAUGAGCCUUUAGAAGCGGAUGACUGGCUCCGAACCAUGGAGCAUAAGUUCAGUUUGAUUCAGUGUUCAGAAACUCAGAAGCCCCUGUUUGCAGCCCAGCAGCUUCGGGGACUGCAGGUGCCUGGUGGGAGAACUUCUUAGCUAUCCAAGCUCCCGGUCACCAGGUUACCUGGACCGAGUUUAGGGACGCGUUUCGUGCCCACUACAUCCCCGAAGGGCUCAUGGCCAUGAAGGCCGAAGAGUUUCUCGCCUUGCAGCAAGGCGAUAAAAGUGUUAUGGAGUACGUGGCAAGGUUUAAUCAUCUCUCUCAAUAUGCCACGGAUCAUGUGAACACUGACAGAAAGAAGAAAGCCUGUUUCAUGCGUGGUCUAAAUACUAAACUUCAGACCAUGAUGACCACUUGCCAAAAUGCUACUUUCUAUGAGGCGGUAAAUAUUGCUAUCGCCUCAGAGGAAAAGAAUAGAAAACACAAGGAAGCCAAGAAGAAGGCUGCUUCCUCUUCUUUCUCUGGUCGCGGUCAAAAGCGCCAGAAGAUCAUUUAUCAUCCACAGGGCCACGGACGCUUCCCAGCGCCGUCACCUUAUCGUGGUCCUUUCUCCCCUCCACAGUACAGACCCGGGCAGCAGGUAUAUUCUCGACCUACUGCCAUCGCUUUUGCACCACGCCAGCCGAACGCCCCGGGUGUUCGCCCCACUGCUUCACCCAGCCACAAUUACCCUUGCUUCAAUUGUGGUAAGCUUGGGCAUUUCUCUAAAGAGUGCCCUUUUCCCCGCCAAACCAACUCUACCUUCCAAAGGCCACCUAUGGGCCAACCCCAGCCAAGUCAGUUCAGGACUGGGGCUCAAAAAGGGCAACAGGUACAGAAAGGUAGACCGGCAAAGAAGACAGGGCAAGUCUUCCAUACUGAAGUGGAGACAAUUCCAGAGGGUGAACCAGUGAUGAUGGGUACGUUUCCUGUUGCGAAACAUCCUGCUUUAAUGCUCUUCGAUUCUGGUGCAUCUCAUACAUUCAUUAAUCGCACCUUUGUGUUAAAGCAUGGCAUACCCAUUGGGGAAACACAAGAUCAUUUUUAUAUACAGUCGCCAGGAGGACGGCUGAUGUCCAAAGAAAUGGUUCACCAAGUACCCAUCGAAUUUGGUGGGCAUAAUUUUCCUACUAGCAUGAUUGUUCUCAAGGACCAAGAAAUUGAUGUCAUCUUGGGCAUGAACUGGAUGGCGCAACGAGGGGUUGUGCUAGACACUUUGCAUCGAACCAUUAAAAUCCCAUUGCCCAAUGAGAAUUCUUAUUUACUCCCAAGCGGACAAUUGGGCAAGUUCAUGCCGCUAAUGUGUCUGAAGUCAAAGAUAUCCCGGUAGUUCGAGAUUUUACGGAUGUAUUUCCUGAAGACUUACCAGGUCUGCCUCCGGACCGGGAUGUACAAUUCAGUAUAGAACUGAAACCAGGAACAGCCCCAAUAUCUCGAAGGGCCUACAGAAUGGCACCGAAAGAGCUGGCCGAAUUAAAAACCCAAUUACAAGAGUUGUUACAGAAAGGUUUUAUUCAGCCCAGUUCUUCUCCAUGGGGUUGCCCAGCCUUGUUUGUGAAAAAGAAAGAUCAGACAUUAAGGCUGUGUGUCGACUAUCGUCCCCUAAAUGAGGUGACGAUUAAGAACAAGUACCCAUUGCCCCGCAUUGACUUAUUGUUUGACCAGCUAGCUGGGGCCAAAGUAUUCUCAAAAAUUGACUUGAGAUCAGGGUACCACCAAAUUAAAAUUAGGCCGGAAGAUGUGCCCAAGACAGCUUUUACAACCCGUUACGGGCUAUAUGAAUACUUGGUGAUGUCCUUUGGGUUGACCAAUGCACCGGCCCAUUUCAUGUACCUGAUGAACUCUGUCUUCAUGCCAGAACUAGAUAAAUUUGUUGUAGUCUUUAUUGACGACAUUUUGAUUUACUCCAAAACUAAGAAAGAACAUGCUGAACAUUUGAGGGUAGUGCUGACUCGUCUCAGGGAACAUCAGCUAUACGCCAAGUUCAGCAAAUGUGAGUUCUGGCUGGACAAAGUCCAUUUCCUGGGUCAUGUAUUAUCAGCGGAGGGAGUCGCUGUAGACCCAGGCAAGGUAGAAGAUGUGUUGAAUUGGAAACCCCCGACUACGGUACAUGAGGUCCGUAGUUUUCUAGGUAUGGCGGGAUAUUACCGUCGUUUUAUCCCGGACUUUUCCAGAGUCGCCAAACCAAUCACAACCUUGCUCAAAAAUCAAACCAAGUUUGUUUGGUCACCCCAAUGUGAGCAAGCCUUUCAGACUCUGAAAAGGUUGUUGACAACUGCACCUGUCUUAGCCCAGCCAGAUAUUGAAAAACCCUUUGAUGUAUAUUGUGAUGCAUCAGGAAUCGGGAUAGGCUGUGUGCUAAUGCAGGAGGGUCGCGUAAUUGCAUAUGCUUCCAGACAACUCAAACCCCAUGAAGAGAAUUACCCGACCCAUGAUCUUGAACUAGCCGCCGUGGUACAUGCAUUAAAGAUCUGGCGUCAUUAUCUGUUGGGGAACACAUGUCAUCUAUAUACAGAUCACAAAAGCUUGAAGUAUAUCUUUACUCAAGCUGAGCUUAAUAUGCGCCAGCGAAGGUGGCUAGAAUUAAUUAAAGAUUACGACCUUGAGGUGCAUUAUCACCCUGGCAAGGCAAAUGUAGUAGCUGAUGCCCUCAGUCGUAAGGCUCACUGCAAUUGCGUAACAGUGAUGCUUAGAGACAUAACUUUGUGCCAAGAGCUAGAGAACUUGGGAAUAGAAAUGAUUUCCCAAGGAAGCCUUACCAAUCUAAAGAUCGAUUUCAAUCUCGAAGCUCAAAUCAUAAAAGCACAAAAAGAAAACAAAGGCAUGAGACAUCUUAAAGAGAAGAUUUCUAAUAGAGCACCCACAGACCUUAAGGUGGAUGAUGCAGGAGUAAUUUGGUUCAAGAACCGGUUAGUGGUUCCAAAGGUACCUGAGCUACGUCAACAAAUCCUAGAUGAAGCUCAUACCACGAGGUAUUCUAUUCAUCUGGGAAGCAAUAAGAUGUAUCAGGACCUAAGGCAAAGGUUUUGGUGGACAAAAAUGAAGAUAGAGAUAGCUCGCUAUGUGGCCCAAUGUGACACCUGUCGAAAGGUCAAAGCCAUUCAUCUCAAGUCCGCUGGGGAGUUGCAACCUUUGCCUAUCCCCGCAUGGAAAUGGGAUGAUAUAAGUAUGGAUUUCAUAGUAGGAUUGCCCAAGACGGCCAAGGGCUUUGAUUCCAUUUGGGUCAUAGUAGAUCGUCUCACCAAACCAGCACAUUUUCUGCCAGUAAAGCUAUUGUAUCCUGCCUCCACCUAUGCUAAGAUUUAUUUCGACCGUAUCCUAAGUCUGCAUGGGGUGCCAAAGACAAUAGUGUCUGAUAGGGGCACACAAUUUGUCUCCCAAUUCUGGAAAUGUUUACAUGAGUCCCUGGGCACUAAGCUUUUAUACAGCACAGCCUACCACCCUCAAACCGGUGGGCAAACUGAAAGGGUGAAUCAAACCCUAGAAGAUCUAUUAAGAUCUUGUGCCCUGAAUUUUCCAGAUAAGUGGGAUGACUGCUUGCCUCUAGCAGAAUUUUCUUACAAUAAUAGCUACCAAGAGAGUAUCAAGAUGGCUCCUUUUGAGGCACUGUAUGGUCGCCGAUGUCGAACUCCAUUACACUGGUCGGAACCUGGAGAAAGAUGGUUCUUCGGUGUUGACCUAGUGAAAGAGACUGAGAACAAAGUGAAACAAAUCCAAAAUAACUUGAAAGUUGCUCAGUCUCGACAGAAAAGUUAUGCUGAUAAAAGACGUCGACCAUUAAAAUUCGCCAAAGGUGAUCAUGUAUAUCUGAAAGUAUCCCCAAUGAAAGGAGUAAAUCGUUUUGGGGUUAAAGGCAAGUUAGCGCCUCGUUACAUUGGUCCAUUUCCAAUCAUUGACCGAUGUGGCCAGGUCGCUUACCGCCUUAAACUGCCCGAACGAUUAUCCGGGGUGCAUAAUGUGUUCCAUGUGUCUCAACUGAAAAAGUGUCUUCGGAUACCAGACCGAGUUCAGGAUAUUGAAGAUGUAGAACUUGAACCAGAUCUAACUUAUUCGGAGUAUCCUAUCCGAGUACUGGAUCAGAAAGAUAGAGUUACUCGAAGAACAACCACCAAAUGGUACAAGGUACAAUGGAGCCAGCACUCUGAAGAGGAAGCCACCUGGGAAUCUGAAGAUUACUUGCUAGAGAAUUUCCCUGAAUUCCACGCUUCUCUUCAGGACAACAUAUGAUAAAUAGAGAGUGUACUCUAGUGAAGGAAAAGAGUCGCCAGAGCCAUGUACUUAAUGUACGAAUAUGCUUAUAAUGGAGUGUUUUCCCCAACUUCUUGCCUUAUGGGAAAGUUGAAGACGAAAGAGUUUUGACAAAUUUCCUUUUCCAUUGCUUACCCUAAGGUUUUAAAUCUCGGGGACGAGAUUUCUUUAAGGGGGAAGGGCUGUAACAUCCCCGAUGUUACGGUUACUAAAAGCGGAUCAUGUCAUCAUGAGCAUUGCAAAGCAUAUUUGUUAAGCAUAUUAGUAUGCAUCAACUUAAAACAAGUUUACUUUGAUUGCUUGAGCUUAGGGAAGUAGAGUGUGCUUUUGUUGUGUGUUGAUGCUUGCUAAAACCCUAGGGUGGAAGUUUUCCGAAAAGCUAGGGGGGGAAACCCUGAUUUUGGAACCCUAAAUUUGCCCCCUUUUGCAUAACUUAAAAACCAAGCAAAAUUUGAGGUUGAGUUCAAAAGCAAAGUUGUGGAUCUUGUCAAGAUAUACAACUUUGGUGUUUUGAGUUUUUGAAGUUUCAAUAUAAAAUUCAAAGUAAUUUUGAAAAUACAGAUUUCCAAAAAGUGUCCCCUUUUCUAACUUAAAUCCCCAAUUCAAAAUCCAUUUGGAAUUUUGAAAAGUGGUCAACAUGAAAGUUGUAGAGCACAAAAAGUUAAGCAACUUUCAUGUUGGGAGUUUUUCAAGUUGUUAUGCAAAAUCAAAAGUAAUUUUGGAAAUCAUGAUUGGCCCCAAUUCAAAAUUUGAAUUUCCUUUGAAUUGAGUUUGAUUUUCAAACUGUCUGGCAAAAUUAACCUUUUUCCAUUGAGAAUCAGCUUGGGACACCUAAAUAUGAUUUGUAGCUUACAAAAUUUGGCACAACUUUUGUUUUGGUGGAAAUUUGACUUUAGUUCAAGUUUUGGUCGGAUUUCACAAAAAGACAAAUUGAAUGGAUAUGGUCUGCUACAGUGUUCGGCAGGGGGGGGGUGCUCUGCCGCCGCGGCAGAGCCGCCUCCGCGCGCGACGCCACGCAGCUGGCCACGCAGCUGCUUGCUGCUGUGCUUCGCGCGGACGGCCUCAUCCACAUCCCCUGUUCCGCCGCUUGGAUAAAGCCUCAGACGGCCGGAGUUUUUAUUUUUCUUCCUUUGAACCUCACCGCCGACCACCACCAUCCGCCGCCAAAAUUUGAGCACCCCCGCAGCUCCGCCUUGAGCCCCGCCACCGAUUGCACCCCCAAACACACGCUCUACCCUACCGUAGCUCCUACCCGCGCCGUUUCCCUCCUCAACUCCGGCCGAGCGCCGCCGCGAGCACGUCACCGUGGCCAGCGUCAACCGGAGCCUCUACGCUGCCGCUUCUUGCUCGGUUGUAGUCGUGGUGAGCCCCUGGUGCUUUUGCGCUGCUCCAGUCACGCUCUACUCGCUCGUAUUGGCCGGCGUUUGCUCGGCCGAGGCGGCCGUCCGCCGUGCCCGUGGUCACGGGGGUUAGGAUAGAGGAGAGUGGGAGAAAAGGGUGUCCCUGGGUGCGCGGGAGGUUGAGGAAGCUAACGCGUCUCACCGCGGAGGCCGAGAGCUCGCCGACGGCAUGCUGGAGCUCGCCGGAGCCGCGGCGCUAGGAAGGAGAUGGAGCUGACGAGCGGGACCCGCCCGUCAGCGACCGCGUGAGAGAGAGAGGGAGAGCGCGCUGAGCGCGGGAGAGCUCGCGGGCCGUCUUGGGCCGGGUCCGAGCAGGCCGCCAGCACUACACAGUGCACUUUUUCUUUUUCCUUUUUGUUUAAAAACGUUUGAUAUUUGAAUUUGAAUAUUGAAUUGUGUAGUGGUCCAAAAAUAGUGAAACUUUUUGGGUAGGUUCCAGAAAAUGUAUAGAGCCUAGGAAAAAUAUUAGAAUUUAUUUCUCUGAUAGUUUGCAUGUCUAUAAAAAUUGGCUCUUUAAUUAGUGAAUAAAACUUCUAGGAAUUUUAGUAAUUUAUUAGGGGGUCCAAAAAUCACCAAAAAUUGUGGAGAGCCUCUGAGUGGUAUUCCCUGGCUCCACACAAAAUUUGGUGGCAUUUGGAUAAUGUUUGAUUAAAAUACUAAUAAAUCCUUAUUUAGCACUUAAAUAAUAAUUCCAAAAUAAUUAAAUAGUGAUUAUUUAGAUUCUCAUAAUUAGGGUUGAGUGAUUUUGGGAUUGUGUGAUGACCUGAGGUCGUUAACCCUAAUGACCUUUGGCAUUUUAUUAUUAUUUAGCCUUAAUGCUUAAUUACUGUCAUUAGUAGUUAAUUAAGAAUUAAUUAAGGUAAAUAGGAUUAAUAAUUAACUAAAUUAAGAUAAUUAUGAAUUAAAUAAAGUCUUAGUUUACAGAUGCAACCUCUUGGGUAAAAACAUUAAGAUAUUAAACAACUUUACUUAUUGAUUAUUCUGUAUUGCAUCAAAAAGGCAAGUUGUACUCGAUUCGGUCCUUCUUGCAUAAUUGUCAUACGCAUAUCAUGAGCAUUCAUCAUUUUGCGUAUAGUGUCCGUGACCGAAGGAGCCCCCGUUGAACCGAACCCCGAGGUCGGUGCUCCGUUCGAGGAAGUCGGAUCCGAGACUUGGGAAGUCUCCGAGGGUCCCUCUCUGCCCUACAACCAAGGCAAGCCCCGGAUGCAUUAACCCCUCCUUGGAUGUUUUAAAUCUUUUAUCACUUAUGAAUUGAAAAUGCUGCAUUAGGUAGUUGAGAAUUGGGUUAACCUACUUGCUGCAUUUACUACCUUGAUAUCUGUAUCCUGUCCUUGACACCUGUUUUAUUUUAAAACUGCGUAGCGAUGCUUAGCCCUGCUACUAGAUAGGUUUUUUUUAAAAACAAGAAAGUUUGAAGGGUUGUUGUGGGAUACACUUAUGAUCAAUGAUGUUUCAAUUUGAGACCGGUCGGUGGACUUGCUCGAAGAAUGGAGUCUUAAAGUAGUGUCUCCGACUGUGUCGAUUAAGGACCGUUCCGUUGAUGGCCUGCUGGGUUGAGAAUUUAUAGUACUAACCGCUUGCCCUCGGUAAGCCCAGUCUUGUGAUCCCUCGACGCGAACAGCUACUCGCGCACUGGGAGUGGAAAGAUGGCGAGAGUAACGUGUGCCCACCUUACGGAUCUGAGAUGACCGGAAAACAUCUAGAUCGGCUGUAGGAUGGUGGGGUACUGUGCUCUCGGGUGCCGCGAACCUGGUCAGAUUUGGGGAGAGCUUGAUUUGGGUUGAUAUAUGCAAGAUUUGGUUCUACAUAUGUCGGGUGGUUAGGAACUCCAGCUGGAUUGCUAAGCGAUUCGAAUCGUCGUUGCUCCCCGAUUGAGAGACUCAAUUCCUUCGACCCUCAUCGUAUGUAAAUAAGCAACUGAAUGAUAAAAUGAGAAAGGGGAAAAUGUCUCAUGAGGUUCGGAUCCCAAUUCCCGGACUCAUAGCGACAUGAAGCUAUGGCCAUCGAUAAAUAAUACUUGACGUUAGGAUUAGGAACUCACGGAUUCGUCUGUGAGGAACAACUAGUUAAACUAUCCUCGAACUCCUCGGCCUCUGCGGGAGAGGAAUUCGCGGUUAAAACUUGAAAACAAGGAUGCACUACUAGUAAGCUUUUAGCAAAACAUUUUGGCUCCUUGCUCAGCCUCCCCUUGUCUACCCUAAACCUGCAUCCCUAAGUUCUCCUCUUUUCCCAUCGGGUAAGUCUUGUUGAGUACUCCCGUACUCAGGGUUUCAAUACCCCUGUUGCAGGUGAAGCACAGGAGCUGACUUGUUUCGGACCCUGUUGUGUGACCGUCGUCGAGGUUGACGACGAGGAAGAGUGAGCGUGACCCAUGGGCAGGGUCUGUAAAUUUGUGAUGACUGUACUAAAGUUUAAGUUGCUCCGCUGGACCAGGCUUGUAAUAACACUCUACUAUUUGGAAGAACUCAUUUUGUAAAUUAAGUUAUGUAAUACUUCCGCUGUUUUACUCUGAAAUAUUAUUUUAGUUUUGUGUCGUUUGAGUUACUGCUUUAUCUUCGCAACGAAUGAUCCUGGUGUUAAGGUGGCCACUUUCUAUCCUGUAAGGGCGAGAAGAAGCAGUUCUCAUUGUUUGACCAUUGCUAGUGGUCAGAACGAGCCAGCUUGGUACGCCACAGGUAGCAGUGGAAUGAGCGUCCAACGAUGCUCAUCGGACUUCUAAGGUGGGAGGACUCCCGGCAUCACCGUCAGAGGUCCUUAGGACAAUGGCAGGUGCCGGUGGGCCCAAACACUUAGGGGGUUCUGCCACACAUGAUGAUAGGGAUGCCACCUGGGAAUCUGAGGAUUACCUAAAAACAGUUUACCCAAAAUUUCAUAAGAAAUGGUUAGUAACCCAAAUCUCGGGACGAGAUUUCCCUAAGGGGGGAAGGGCUAUAACACCCUAGGUGUUAAGCAUGCACUUAGUAUCAUAGAACAUUCAUAAGCAUUCUCAUCAAGCAUGGCAUAAGCAUCACAUCUCAUGAGCACAAUAAUAAUUCAAGUAUGAUUUUAUGUGCAUUAUUUUAUGUAAGUUAAAUAGGUUAAAAAUAUUAUGCUUGCUUCUAAAAAUUGUGUAAUAUUCAAAUUAGGUUGAAAUAUGUGUUAGAAGAAUUAAGAGUAAUUUUGUGAAAUUUUUGGAGCCAUAGGAUUUGAGAAAUGGAAUUUAUACAAAAAUCCCUAAAAUUAAUUUAUUUAAAAACCUAGGACUAGUUUUAAUCUGUGAUUCAAAUUCUAUUGGGAAUUUGACUUCACCUAUUAAAGCAAAGUUGUAGGGAGUUUUAUGAGGAGCAAUUCUUCUUUUCACUCCAACCCCUAAAAAGAUUUGUAAAAGCUUCAAAUGUCUUAUUCGAACUUUUUGGAGAAAAGAAAUUCAAAAAAAAAGAGAAAAGGGGAUAGGCGCUGCUGGGCCGACCCGCCUCCCUUUCGGCGUAGCCAGACAGCGCGGCCCGCUUCCCCUACCCUCUCUCUCCAGCGCGCGGCACUCACCUCGCUCCACCCGGUGCCGGCCACAUGGCGGCCGUACGCCGGCGUCGUGGACACGCCUCGGUCGACCGGCUUACCCCGGUCGGGACGGCACCCCGCGCCCCGACGCGCCAUUCGGUCCCCCGAUCCUCUCUCUCUUCUUCCUCCCCGUGCGAGCAGCAGCAGCAGCCACGGCGGUGCUCCACCGUGCGCCAUUGGCGCCGAAGCCCAGCUCCCAACUCCGGUCACCCGCGCUCGAUUAAGCCCACCCCUAGCACCGCCUCGACGAGCGCAAUCUCGUGCGCACGCUCUCGGCCGUCCGCGUCAAGGUAUUAGGUGAGAUUUCACCGCCGCGACAUGGCCGGAGCUCCGGCGAGCUCUCGGUCUGCGCGAAUCUUCCCUUCCCGACCCCCUUUCUCUUCGUUUGUUUGCGCGUUGUGGUCGUCGUGCUCCCGCGAACCCUAAGCACCCCUCCGUUCGCGCUCUAUCGGCCGGAGACGGCCGGACGCCAGUGAGCAGCGCCACCGAGCUCUGCCAUACGCCAUAGCUGCCGCUAGGGACCUCCUCCAUCGAUGAGAUCUAGCUCAACGUGUUUGCCUCGAAGAGACGAAACCGUAGGUGCCCUCCGCGCCACCGGAGACCUCACCGUCGGCGAGAGCCGGCCGGCCGAAGUCGGCCGGAGUGCUGCAUGGCUGACCCGUCGGGACAUAACCCCUGGGUCCCACCUGUCAGCGCCUCUGCGGGUGUGGAUCUGGGUGGAUCUAGCGUUUUCCAUCGGUUUUCUUAAAUAAUGGUUUUCCAGAAAUUGAUUUAAAUGAUGAAAAAUCCAUAUCUUGAGAUGCAUGGUUCCAAAAUUGAUGAAAUAAAUUUUGAUGUGUUCUAUAUUCUCAGAUCUAUAGUUUGGUAUGGUUGCAUGUCAUGUUUGAACAACUUUUCCGUACAAAUAUAUUUGAUCCAUGUUUUUGCUGAAUUUGGAAAAUACAUAGUAAUUAAAAUAUAGCUCAGAAAAAUAUGAAACUUGUUUUGUUGGCUCUGCAUGGAUGAUUAGGCUCUGGGAAAAAUAUGUUACACAUUAUUUGCUCUAUGAAUUAUUUUAUGAUGAUUUAAAUGCUUGCAUGGAAGUGGUUUAUGAUUUUUAAUAAAUAAUUGGGUCAUGGAAUUAAUCUGGAAAUUUUUGUGGGUGUUUCUUAUGAUAAUAAGUAAAUUAUAAAAUUAUGAAAUCUGCUGUUUGACACUUACACAACAAAAGGAUAAUUAUACUUAAUUAUAUGGGUUGAUCUUGUGAUUUUUGUAGCUCAAAAUAAAUGUCCAAAUAUUAUGAGAAAUUUAUGGUAGAGUCUAUGUUUUACUAGUGAUCUGCUAUAAUUUUUGUGGAGUUUAUGGAUAAGCAGAAAUAUAUGCUAUUUUUGUAUGCCUAAAAGUGGAUAAAUAAAUUAUGAAUUUGUUAUACAUAGAUUAAAUGAAGUAAAAUAAUGUUUGGUGUAUCUUUGAAGCAUCAUGUGAGUUUGCUGGUUAACCAUGAAUACAAUUUGUAGAAGAGAAUGCAAUAGAUGCUUAAUUCAAUUGCAUGUUCUUGGAUGAUGUUGACUACCUUGUAGAAAUGACCACCUAUAUCAUCUAUGCACUACGUCAUAGUCAUCUGUUACCCACUUGCAUAAGCAUUGCACCCCGGGCAUCUCGCACUCCACUCAUGAGCACACAUGCAUCAUAUAGGCUCACAGGAGAACGAGGUGGGACCCGAGGAGCAAGAGGAGACCCAGGAGCAGGAACCUCUGGGAGGACCGGAGCCUAGAGAAGAGCUGCAGGAGUGCCCGAAUCACAAGCCGAGCACGUUUCAGAAAGGCAAGCCCCGGAGCAUUUUAAGUCUCCCUAUUCUCGCUAACAUAAAUGAUAUAUUAUGCUUGUUCUACUAUGUGCAUUUAAGUGAUAGGAAUUGCUUGAUACCGUUGAUGCAUGAGUACUCCUUGAUAUCACCACUUUGUUUAUCUGCCUUGUCCUAUGUAGAUAGGUACAGAGUCUGUGCUUAGUUUGCUUAGUCCGGUAGAAGUCGGGUGAUUUCCUGUCACCUGCUAGAUAUAGGUGGAUACCUGCUUGAUUAAGCGGUGAUUGCUUUGGGAAAGAAUAACCAAGUGUGGAAGGGAAUUUGAGGCCGGGCAUGGUCUUAUGGUGGGUUGACCGUAGUGCCCCUGCCUGUGUCGAUUAAGUACCGAUCGUUGACGGCCCUCUUGUCAUGUUGAACGCAUGCCCCACACUUAGCUGGAAGGAUAAGUCGUUCGGACCGUGAAGCCUGAACACUAUCCGGACCGGGAGUCGAGCCGCCAUGUGUUGACGGUCCUUAAGUAUCAAAUUUAAUUAUCAAAUAAACAAAGAAAAGGAUCCAAAUGAAAUCAACAUCUUGACUUAGGGUUUUAUCUGACAGAAUUCCACGAGUUUGGUGUUUGUCUAUUUCUACAGGGGGUUAUCAGGAAAUAAGGAAGAAAGGCCCACAAGUCGGGAUUACAUAGAGAUAUUAACAUGCCGCACUAUUAUCUUACAUCUAGAAGACUCCAGAAGCCACGGGAAGGAAGUGGAGGCCGAACGGGGCCAGGGACUGGGCGCCCGCCCAGUUGCCCUGGGCGCCCGCCCUCUGUUGGAGUCCAAACAGGACUCUGUUUCGUGGGAGAUCUCCACCGACCCAAAGGAUCAAGGAUAACCGUUCAAUCAAUGUCGGUUUGAUCCAACGGCCCAUAUUCACUUGAAGGCACUAUAAAACUAGACCCCCUAGCCCCUGGAGGAGAGAGCCUCUCAACCCUAAUUCAUUAUUCUUCAAGGGAGAAGAAACCUCUGAUCAAGAUUAGAGCCACCACAUCAAUUAGAUAUCUAGAUUAGCAUAGCUACAUAGGAUUAGAACUAGAAGGAUUCAAUCUUUGAUUGGUUUCCGGAUCUGUCAAGAGGAUUCUUGGUAAUUCUAUAAUUGUGCUUCUAAUUGCUUUCUAAUUAUCUUUGUUCUUCAAUAUUAUGAAUAUGACUUUGUUCUACUUCAAUAUAUUGCUUAUGACUUUGCUCUACUUGUUUAUAUUCAAGAUUAUAUUGUUCUUAGAUUAUCAUAGUUAUGUACUUGGCUUAGUUAGAUUGGAUCUAUAUACAUGCUUAGGAUCGUAUAGCGUUUAUCCAUCGGAUCCAUGGGUAAAUGAUAGAUAUUGUGUAGGCGUGGUGCUUAUACCGUAUUUAUCUGCGAUUGUACCCAAUAUGCCAGAUCGUGGGGUAGUUCGUGAUAGUGACAGCUUCAUUGAUUCUUAUAUAGUCCCCCUCUCGUGUAUUGGGCUGGCAGAGCAAUAUUAUUACAGGAGAGUGAUUGCUAUGUUUCUCAUAUUCCUUGCUAAUAUCACUAUGCAUGGGCGUAGUCUUGUCUCACAAUGAUUGCUAAGUAUGCUUGUACUAACUAUGAUAAUGCUAGACUAUAUAGUUGAGAAUAACUUAGGAAAUAUUCUUGUAGUUCGUUCUAAUUCCAUGCUAAUGACUUUCUAGAGUAUCUAAUUGAGGUGCUUAUCAUAUUUAUUAUGUGGCUAAGUUAUGAUCAGAUUAAUUAUCUUUGUCACUAUUCAUUACUUCAUAAAUCUUUUAUGUGACACUUACCCCUGUAUGAAAGAGUUAGAUAGAUGUUCUCAAUUAUAUAUGCAAUGAUAGAUACUCAAUCUCAUAUUCUAUUCUGUAAUCAAUAUUGAUGAUUGUUAAUCCCUUCCCAGUGGUAAAAAUAUAAAUAACGAUACAUGGAAUACUUCCCGGUUAAAAUGCUACAUCGGUAUUAAUCUGUGCGCUUGCAGAUCCCAUUCAUUAUUUAUUUAGAAGAGCAAUUGCAUAUUUUAAUACCGCGUCUCUCAUGUCAUGCUGGGGAUGACAACUUGGCUUAAGUGGUAUGAGGGAUAGGUUUGGCAUUUUUGGCACCGUCGCUAGAAUUAGAAAACUGUCUACUUUUGGUAAUGAUGUUAAGAAUACCCAACAAGCAUUUUUGGCGCCGUUGCCGGGGAAGGUUGAUUACUAAUCAGGAAUGAAUAAAGGAUUUUGAGUUAUCAUUCGCAUCACUAAUAUGAUUGAGCUUAUCUAUUCUCUGAUACAGUUUUACCCCGAUAUUUUCUAUUUUAUCUUAUGUAGGGGAAUGUAUGAAUAGAAGACAUCUUCUACAAAAUUUUGUUGACAAUCCUGAAGCAUUAUUCAAGAAGACAAGAGCCAAGCUCAAGAAGAUAUCAUCAACACUUCAGCAAGAAGCUUCAUCCAAUCACGAAGAUCACCGGAACUUGUCUUCAGAGUUCGAAGCCAUGGCGAACAAAUCAAUCCGCGAGUUCUCAGCCCCACUACGGACAACAUCCGCAUUGGACCUGCUGCAGAGAUCGACGGCAACUUUGAGCUCAAGCCUGGACUUAUCAACAUGGUGCAAUCCAACCAGUGCUGUGGGAAAGCACAUGAAGAUGCCAGUGCUCAUCUCCAACACUUCCUGGAGAUUUGCAGCACAUUUACCAUAUCAGGAGUUUCUAGAGAUGCUAUACUACUUCGCCUCUUCCCAUUCUCACUGUUAGGAAGAGCGAAGUAAUGGUUCUACUCUACAAAGGAGAAGAAUACUACGUGGGCACUCUGCUCAACAAACUUCCUGGCUAAAUUCUUUCUCAUGUGCAAGACCAAUGCUCUCCGUGGGAAGAUUACAAGUUUUCAGCAACAACAUGACAAAUCUGUUCCAGAAGCAUGGGAGCGCUUCCAAGACUAUAUCCUAGAAUGUCCCCAUCAUGGAAUGGAGAGUUGGUUACUAAUGCAGACAUUUUAUCAUGGGCUCGGCAAUAGUGCCCGAGAGACCAUGGAUGCUACUGUUGACGGUCCUUAAGUAUCAAAUUUAAUUAUCAAAUAAACAAAGAAAAGGAUCCAAAUGAAAUCAACAUCUAGACUUAGGGUUUUAUUUGACAGAAUUCCACGAGUUUUGGUGUUUGUCUAUUUCUGUAGGGGGUUAUCAGGAAAUAAGGAAGAAAGGCCCACAUGUCGGGAUUACAUAGAGAUAUCAACCCACCGCGCAAUUUUCUACCAUCUAGAAGACUCCAGAAGCCACGGGAAGGAAGCGGAGCCCGAAAGGGGCCAGGCCCAGGGCGCCCGCCCUGAGGACCUGGGCGCCCGCCCCCCUCUGGACUCCAUUCCGGACUCUCUUCGCACACGACGUUCCACCGACCUAUUGGAUCCAGAAUAACAUAGUACCACCUCGCCUAUCGACCCAAAAACGCACAGAAGGGGAGGACUAUAUAAGGAGACCCCCUCUGGCCCCUAGAGGAGACAAGAAAUUAUCAUAGAGAUUGAGGGGUGCCCUCGAAGGAAAACCUCUUCUCUAAAUAAUAUUUCUUUUUAGGCUUAGCAACCAAUGUAAGGUAGAAAUAGAUCUUCUAGUUUCUACUAGAUUGAGAGAGAUAGAGUGGAGGUGUGGAUCAGAGGAAGGCCGGCCUGUCGGUGUCUACUCCGAGUUGUACCUACGGGAUCAAGUCUCCUAACCCGAGGCUUGCUUCUAAGAUUCUUCAGUAAUUUGACUUCUAAUGCUAGUAAGUUCUUGUUUUAUUGUUCUUUGGUUUAUGAGUUUACUUUAAUCCUCUUCCGGUUGAGUAUUAGAGUAAUCACUUGUUAGCGUAAACGUGGUGUUUAGGCUAGGGUACUCAUAGAUAUCCCCUGACUAGCUGGACCGUGGUAGUAGCGAGGAACGUGACAUUUCCGAGUUACCUUUGCAGAUCACAUCUCGUUAGCAGGACGGGUAGGUUUAUAGGUGCGGGUCGAACAUCCUUUGUGUUGUCUAGAUUCCGUGAGCCUCCCCAAUAGAACAGUAGAUCAUCCUUACCAAGGUUAGAACGAGACUAAGGUUGCAGUCUUCUCUAUACAUCACUCACAUCGAGACACAUUCUUUGUAGCCUAAAGGGGUAGUAGCAAUAGAUUUGGUUAGUCAGAUGCAUGUAACACCCUAAAAUUUAUUACUUUUUGAAAUAGGUGAAAAUGAUUUAAUUUUGUAUUUUUGUGCUCAUGAAAAUAUAAAAAAAAUAAUUUUUUCCAUUAAGUUAAAAUUUAUCAUAAGGCUUAGCAAUACUAUUAUGCAUACAUGCUGGUGCAUAUGUUUUGAUGUGAUGUUGGCUUGUUGCUCCUUUAUGUGUUGAGUGAGCAAAGUUUUUAAAAUGUGUUUAGUAGAUCGAUAUUCCUUGACCAGUACGUCUUUAUCUUUAUCUAUAACCAAAUUCCUUGUUUCUCGGCUCAACUUUUUAUUAGAAGCUUUCUAAAAUCUUUUCCUUGUCACCCAAAUCACUUCUUUUAGUUCCUCGUCCAUCAAGCAAUCUCUACAAACUUUUCGGAAAUUUUUCCAGUUUCUGUUCUCACUUUUCUGUGAGCAUAAUCUAAUUUUUUUAGAUGCUCCAAAUUAUCUCAUCAUGAGCUCCAAAGACUUUAUUUGGAUUCCUCAUGUUCCAUAAUGUCUCUGAGAAUUUUCCUUGAAUUUUUGGAGCAUUUGGAGUAUUUUUCAUGGCUUAAAUAAUAAUUCUGGACUUUUCUAGAAUUAUUUUAUUCACUAAAUUAGUUAAUUACGAAAAUAAUAAAAUCUUUCAUUUUAUCCCACGCUCAAGCCCAUGAUCUCAAUGGUCAAUGUCUUUAUUUACUAAUGGGCUUUAAUAAUUAAUUAGUCCUAUUAGUAAAGAUGAAGGUUGCAAAUCAAUUAGUACCAUAUCGCUAGUUGACGUGGAGGUGGGGAGUUUCUCUCCCUAUAUAUAUGUACUAAUAAUUCUUAUAAAUACUAAAAAGCUAGACACGAGAUAAGAAAAGAAAAUCUAGAGUUUUAUCUCUCUUCAUUGCGCUGCCGCCGCGGUCAAUUUUCUGCACUCGGCGAUUUGAUGGGUGAUUUCCAAUCCGCGACUCUCAUACACGUCGAGUCCAAGGUGGUGCACGGUCGUGUUCUUGUCGAGUUGAAGCCAGAUCGGCGUUAUUCAUCUAGAAAGAAAAAAAGCUGUUGCGUGUCACGCCGCUGUUCAAAGCAAAAUCGAUGGAUCCAGGUAUUAAAAUCACUGCUGUGCUGUCUGGUUCCUAAGCGAAGGAAAAGAAUCCUUCACACUGUUGUACUGUUGAUCAGAACUGCCAACAGGUGGACAUGAAUGGAGGUCUGCAAGUGUUGAGCGUGUAUCCUGUGAUUGGAGAUUUGGUCACCGAGAGGCUUCGUGUCAAGCAAAUACAAGUUGUGGUUACCCAGUUCGUCGAAACAUGUAAAUUCUUUCAUUGCACCAGUAAAGAGCGUCACCCACGCAUGCAUGUUUGAUUAAAGGUGUGCAAUACUUUAGUGAUUACAGAUAAUACUCGUGUCAUAUAUAUAUCAUUCAUGCAUAAUAAAUCACUAUUUUCUAUUAUUUCUCAAUUCAAGAAAAUCCAUCCUUUAUAUAUCAUGAAGAUAUUCUUAAUAAUUACGUAGACUGUCUAUUUAAUUUCAUGGUUUAAAUCCUAACUUGAAUAAUAAUUAUGCAAUUGGAUUAUAAAUAAAAUAUAAUUAGUUUACCUUGAUUUUUCUAAUUUAAAAUACAAAUUGACUUAACAUGAUAUCUCUCUAGAAAAUUCAUAACUUCUACGUUUUAACUCCGAUUUUUGUGAUCUUUACGUCUAUAAAAUCGUAGCGAUGCGUAGGAUCAUUUUAUAGACUUUUCAUACUAUUUUUAUAUGAUUGGUGUACUGUUCUAAUUGUAGCCUUGUUUGCUUCGUGUAUGUUUGUUGCCGUAUGUUUGUGAUCGAUGAUCGGAAUUAGUCGGUGAGCAAUUCGUGGUGAUCAAGAGUGCUUCAGUGAUCAAGAUCGGCAAGAGCAUUUGGUUUAAGGCAAGUAUAGUAUUUGGAUUUUAUUUCUGUGACCAUGAUCCUGUGACUAGAUUAAUGUUAAGUAAUAAACGAUAAAAAUGACUUUUUAGCAACUUGAUGAUUUGUCUGUACGUGAUCACCCGGGACAACAGUGCAACCAUGAGGGCUAUAAUGGCUCUGGCUUUAGCUCAGUAUGAAGACCUUUUCUAGCUUGUUAGAGGUUACCCGAAAGGGCGGAGGGGCUGAACCGUUUUGGGUAUAGUGUGGCCUCUGUCUGUAUGUGUAUAGGCUGCGAGUCAUUGUGCCAUCGGAAGGGGGGCUCUAUAUCUGCGCGCAAAGGAAACCUUGCGGCCCUAACAUGUUAGACGAACUUUUGAAAGGCUUCAUAGUGAUCCCUGCCGACCUUCCUUGGAAGUGGGUUAAGAGGCUGAUCACCUCGGGCGAAAGGGUAAAUCAUGACUCAUGGGUAAAGAUGUGCAACCUCUGCAGAGUGUUAAAACUAGUAUACUAGCCGAGCUCACGGUCAGGAGCGGCCUUGGGGACAUCUACAUUAAGGGUGAUGAUUCCUGUGUGUUAAAAUACUCAUUAUUUAUUGUUUAAUGCUCUACAUUAUUUAUGUCACAUUGAUCAUGAGAUUGUGGGAGCUAUACAAUCUAGUUGCUAUACUUGUUGAGUUCGACAUGGACUCACUCUUGCUAUUUCCCCAAACCUCAGGAGAAGUUUAGGCUUGUGAUCAACCAGUCGGUUGGAUCCUGUAGAGAGAAGUUAAUACCCGAAGUUUGGAGUUGUCUAUCCGCUGUUUGCUAUCACAGGUUAUAUCUUUUAUACUAAGUACGUUAUAUAUUUAUGCAUUGUCUUUUGACAUUACCCCUUAUUUGUAGCUAUAUGUGGGAUUUGACUUCUAAAACUCACAUAUGGUGCGUAUCUGAUUUGUCCUUAAAAUCGGGUAUUACAAUGCACCCUUUCUCCCAGUGGUAAAAAUAUAAAUACGAUAACUCUGGAAAACCUUCCGGGUGAAAUGCUCACCGAUAUCCGUGCGCUUGCGGAUCAUUUCCUUAUUGCGUUACCAAAUAUCAACAAGCAUUUCUGGCGCCGUUGCCGGGGAGAAAGACGGUUUGCUGAGAUAACUUUGAGUCUUGCUAUUAUCUUGUAUUAUACUUUUAUACUUUUAUUCUUUUAUAUUUUUAUUUUUAUCUUUAUGGAUAACUCAAAUUCCAUACUUAUUAUUAAAUUCUUUGCACCUUCGGAGACCAGACAUAGACCAUGGGAGUCAACACGUCCUACCCCUAAUUAUGAUCUGUGUCCGGAGUUGAUUGCAAUAGGUCAAAACCAACCCUUUUCUAUAGCCGAGGUCCUAUCUUUUAAUCAAAAAGAUAAUGCACUUUUAGCUUCACCUAGGGAAUCUUUUAAACUUUCUAUAAAUUCUGGUUUAGACCUAGACCUACAAGACCAUGUUUUUUUCUAGAUAUUUUCACAUUGGUCUUAAUCAUAUAACAUUUGGUAGAGUCCUUCUUUCUUUAUCUAUUAGUAAAGGAAGGUAUGUCUUCAUUUGUGGACAUCCUUCUUGUACUAGUCUUCAUAGAAAAAUCUUAGAGAUAGAGAAGGAAUCAUCUCCCAGACGAGGAAAGGAAGUUUUAAUAGCCAAUUUCCAAACAUUUCAAUCCCAUAAUUCGGCUAUCCAUCCCAUCCUUGAGCUUAAUAGUUUCUACUAUGCUCUUCCUCUUGAACCUCCCGAUAAUCCUAUGAAUCUUUCUAGACAUCCCAUGCAUAAGAAGGAGGAUCGAGAAGAGGAACAUCAAUGGCUAGAGGGCAUUAAAAAUCCAUGUGCUAUCACCAUUGAAUGGAUAGAUAAAACAAACUUGAGAGACAAUCCUAGAGGAAUUUUAAUCAUUCAUGAAGAAUCAUCCUUGGAGAUUGAGAAUGAGAGAAACAACAGUGAGCAUGGAAGUUAUUUCAUAAAUACCUCACUCAGUCCUUGCUCAUAUAAAACAUCUCUCCAAUCAAUUAGUCUCUCCAACAUUACCACAUUUGAGAUCUCCAACCCUCUCUUCUUUUCUAUUUAUAAAAACUUUAAAAGGGCGGUUGUCGAUACAUAUGUCUAUAAUAAAUAUUGCAGAUCUCGUUGAGUUAAUUGAUGGUUCCCCAAGGACAAGCUUAGUGUCCUAAAACAAGCACUUCUAAUUAUUUGCAACAUUGCCUUGUGUAUUGAGCAUAUAAAGAUAAUUGUAGAAAUAUUCCUUCGGGUAUUCUUGCCACUAACCUUUCUAGGAUUGGAGCAAGAAGAUCGGAUGAAUGACAAGCGCAAGGUAUGCCCAACCAAUCAUCAUGCAACAUUAAGUUAAAUUCAUCCAAUCUUGAAUUUUGCAAAAUUCAAGCUUGGGGGAGUACUUUACAUAAAACAUCCUUUGCCAUGUUGCUAUGUUGGUUGUCCUUACCUUUGAGACAUGCUCAAUUUGUUAAAUACUAAUCACACUACUUCAUCUCCACUUGAGUAGAUCUCUAUAAAAGCCAUCAUGCUACCUUUGUUUAUCCUAGUAAGUAUUAGUUUGGAAGUACUGGUCACACUUCCAAUGGCAUUUAAAUUAAGCGUGGUGCUUAGGUUAAAUAGCCUUCCUUAAUCUGAUUAGACAUGGAGUCUAGUGUGGUUACUGAACAAAAAACUGCUUGAGUAGAUAUUGGUAUAUUUUGUUGGACUAACCCCUGUAGGAAAACUUUCAAUAACAACCUGGGAAGUCCUGAGAUGCAAACUCAUUAGAGAUGAAGAAAGUGACACAUGAAGUUUAACAAUUUGCACAAGAAAGACGUAGCUCAUAAGAGAUGAUUCAUGGAGGGUGCCACAAACACGAUGCACAACCACUAAGAAAGGAAAGCUUCCACAAGGUGAUACUGUACCAUCACUCUUCAAGUAAGGUAACAUCUUAAGGUACUUGACUAACACUUUUAUAAGCUCCUCCUUGGUUCUGGCAUUCACAUAAAUAAAGAGACAAACAUGUAUGAUUUAUAACUCCAAAUAACCAACUCAAUUAAUUCAACAUGUUUAGUCCUUUAAUCUUUGUUCUUAGUACUACCUUCGUGACCCCACACUCCUAAUCAUAUAAGCUAAAGUAUGGCACAUGCAAUCUUUGGAAGAUAUAAACAAAACAUAAAUAUAGAUAGAUUAUCUUUCCAUUAGGUUGAGCCAUCUGAUCUGACAAAUGCUACACUCAUGAUCCAUCAACUUUGUCUUGCUCACUAUGCUUAAGGUUAGAGAAGAACAAAUACACUUUUGGUUCUGUUGGUGUUUUCCACCAACAGGGCCCAUGCACUUGAUCUCUACCUUGUCUCUAUGAGCAGGAACACUUCGAGCAUAAUAUGAAGGAGUUUUACAACUCCCAGAUUCCACCAAGUGAAGAACUAGGAUCUACAAGCACAAAUACACUGGAGAUACUGGACGCUCAGGCAAUCACUGCCCUGAGAUGCUUGAGGACGUGAACUACAUCAACAACAAUAACAACUAUUACUACAACCGUCCUCAACAACAUCAAGGUUGGAAUCAACAGAGGCCUAAUUAAUCAGAGAGGUGAUCUAGGACGCCCCGUCAUCCCGAUCUCCAUCGGCAUGGUGGACUUCCCAGAAGCACUCUGCGACUUUGGCUCCAGCGUCAACAUUAUGCCCAGGGUUGCAGAUCGGACACUCAGUUUCCCAAAGGAAAUAUUGAAGAACCUCUGCGUCCGAGUUGGUACCUUGUAUGCUCUAGCAGACUUCAUGGUGAUAGAGACUGGUACUGAGGAGAGGGCACCCAUCAUAUUAGGGAGGCCAUUCCUAAACACUAGAGCUGUCAUCUACGCUAAUGCUGCCAAGAUCAGUCUCUACAUCAAGGGGAAGAAGGAGACUUUCCUUCAAGAACAAGACUACACAAACUUCAGAGCAACCCCGACAUCAACCAAGGAAGAGGACCAACAGGAGGAACAGGAACAAGCAAAUGUGGACCGAGUCAGCUAAGAUGGUCACUGCAGUUCAAGGAGGUCAAGAUCGUCGACUCAAGUCACCUUUUUUGAUCAAGAAGGACGACCCUGGUGUUCUAAGCAUUGAGUGCACAAUCAACAGAUACUCUUUUCAGAAGACACUAUACGACACCGGAUCUGACGUCAACAUAAUGGCCGUAGUCACUUAUCAGCUCCUGCAUGAAACCAUGCCCCUACAACCAAUAUACAUUCAGCUAUAGAUGACUUUCAAGUUAUUGACAUGGGAGAAGAUGAAUAUGAUCCACCCACCAUCCUUGGAAGACAGUUCCUCAGCACUAUCAAAGCCAUCAUCUAUAUUGGAACCGGAGAAGUCCACAUACACUUCUCCUGUGAGAAGGUAUGCCGCUGUUUUACUGACCCUAACUAUAUAGUUGAAGACUCUAAGCAGGUCAGGACAAGAAGAAGUCAACGCAACCGCAACCAGAGGAGGCAAAUCAUCAAGGACGGAUGGGUAGACUACGAAGGAGAAGUGAUAAGGACUGAAGACAUACCACUUGAACAUAACUGUCCUGAGGAGACCAAAGCACCGAGUCAAGUGUGGAGAGAGAAUAUAGUUACAUACGAAGAGGAGGCGCCACCGGAAUCACCGACUACGUCAUCCAGCGAAUCCCACGACGAUUAAGAAAAUGGAGAGUCCCGCUCGGAGGACUUAAAAACACCGAACGCCUUGCCAAGAGGUAAACUUGGUAGUUAUCCUUUCCCUUUUAAUUAUUUCAAAUAGUUUACUUAGUUAAUCAUGUUCGUACUAUCCUAGAAAGAAAAUAAAAAUGUGAAAAAAAAACUGUAAGCCCCAUGUGAGUAGACGAGUGGCAUAAUACCCAUAAGUACAUUCACUGUGGUGGCAUAAAAAUAAAAUAAAUAUUUUUCUGCUUUAUAAAAAUAAAAAUAUAAAAACAGGGAGUAAUAUUUAUUAAGGAGUCUCAACAUGAUAAAGGCUAGAUAUUUAUGCUAAACCAGUUCCACAAGCUUUGUUGUCUAUUUGAGCUCCACAGAAUUUAAGAAUCAAGAAGACUAGUGUUGGGUAUUUUAAACACAAACAGAAAAAUCCGCAAGCGCACGGAUACCGAUGUAGCUUUCACCCGGGAGUAUUCCAGAGUAUCGAUUUUCCACAGAGAACGUGAGUGUACUAAUUAAGAUCCAAGAUCGCCCAAGGAUAACUAUAUAAUUAUUUUUAGUGGGAAGAGAGGAAGUUUCCUGAGAGUUCUCUAGUUGAUCUAAGAAUCAAGAAUUACUUCAAGAUUAUCUAUAUCGGGACAUCAGAGCACUAACCACAGAAAGAGAUGAGAAGGGGGCUAGGAAGGUCUGACUACGGUCCUACAAACACCGAUCCGAACGUGGUGGAAUACGUCGACCGUUAGGGCUGUCACUACCCUAAGGCUACCACAACAAUCCACAGGAUUGGGUGCAAUUCCAGGUAAUCGCAAGACUAAACACCACGUCUAAUCUAUUAAUUACUACUCUAGCGUUAUAAAGACUAGAGCACUUGAUGCAAGCGAGAAUCCAAUAAAUAACUUGAAUGUAAAUAAAAGUAAUUAAAGAACUCAGGAAUUAUGAGUUGAAGAACCUGGAGAACGAUGAAGAACGAACCAGUUGCUGCAAAAGUACAAUGUUGAGGAAGAUCCGAUAGAUCCGGCUCCUCCUUCUCCGCUCUCCUCUUCUCUCUCCCUAUUUUCUAGAUUACAACUAGAACUAACUAGAACUAGAACUAGAGGAACUAGAACUAGAACUAGAUGAACUAGAACUAGAACUAGAUGAACUAGAGGUAGAACUAGAACUAGAGGGAUCCUCUCUACUUGGAUGAAGAAUUGAAACCCUAACUUUGAUUCUGUAGAAGAGGUAUGCCUACAGGGGCUGGUGGGGUCUGCUUAUAUAGUCCAGGAAGAGUAGCCCCCAAGAAAUCUAGGAAGAGUAGCCCCCAAGAAAUCUAGGAAGAGUAGCUCCCAAGGAAUUUCCACGUUAUUCUCCACCAUCCGAUCAAACCGACCUUCAUCGUGUGAUUUUCCUCGAUCCUUAGAGUCGGUGGAGCAUAAUCCCCGAGACUCGUGCUGAUUGGCCAGCAGAGGAGGGCGGGCGCCCAGGGGGGUAGGGCGGGCGCCCUGCCUCCGGGCCCGCUCGGCCUCCCGUUCGUUCCCGUGGCUUCUGGAGUCUUCUAGAUGAUAGAAAAUUGCGCGGCACGUUAAUAUCUCUAUGUAAUCCCGACGUGUGGGCCUUUCUUCCGUAUUUCCUGAUAACCCCCUGCAGAAAUAGACAAACACCAAAACUCGUGGAAUUCUGUCAGAUAAAACCCUAAGUCUGGGUGUUGGUUGCAUUUGGAUCCUUUUCCAUGAUUAAUUGAUGGUUAAAUGUGAGCAUUAAGGACCGUCAACAAGCUCCCCCAAGCUUAACCUUUGCUCGUCCCUUGAGCAAAGCUAAAAUCAUCAAGAAAACAGGGGUUACUUUUAUGCCUUUUACUAAAGGGGUUUUAAGUUAUCACUAAGGUCUUAAGUGAUUGAAAAACAGAAUGAUCAAGUCAAGCACUAUGUCUCAAGUUCUUCUGUCUUACCUUUGUUCUGGAGUUGUUUGUAAGUUUCCAAAAUAAAUCUGAGGCAUUUGCCUUCUUCUCGAAAGAUAUAUAAGUAGAGCUUUAAAAAUUUUAGCAUACUUACUUUGCAUUUUGCUAUGUCAAUGCUCGAAGCAAGGGAGAGGAAUGUCAUACUCCUAGAUCAAGACCUUUGACCUUUUUGAAGAGUUUGUCAUCUCUUACUGGCAUAUUGCUUAUUAGAGGGACCAUGGGCUAUCAUUUUUUUUCCUUCUUUUUUUCUCUUUUUUUUAGUCUCUUUUUUUCAAGUGGGCAGCAAGUACCUCUAAUUCUACUGUCGGACACAUGUCCAUUUUUUUCCACUCAGGUGGGUAUCUUUGUACCCCUAAUUCUACUUCGGACACUUGUCCAUUUUUACCUCUCAUCUCACUCUUUUUUUUCGAAUCAAAUUUUUGCAUAGUCCCAUGCCUCUAACGCAAUAAUACUUCGGAAGAGUGAAUCUUUUAUAUUUUUAAAACAAAAAGAUCUUGACCUUGGGAGCAUGAUAAUUCUCUCAACCAAAACUACAAGAAUUAACAAUGGCUUGAACAAAGAAAAUACCCACAGUUUUAAUAUUUAUUUCUUAUAAGACUCUAGGUAUUAUGACCUCAUAUAUUUUUUUUAUGAAUUUUUAGAUUUUCAAAAGAUAAAAUCUCCAGAACUCUAGCAAAACUUGGAACAAGUUAAAUAGUAGCUCAGACCAUCUCAUAUCAUGUUUGUCAAUUACCUAGACUUGAAUCAAACUUUCUUUUUAUUUUAUUUAAAACUUAGUAUUACAUAAAACUAUUAUAUAUUACUCAAAACAAAAACUGUGUUUGGUUUCAUGGUUAUGCAUUUUUUUAUUAUUUGAGUAAAGUAUAAACGUGAGUAGAACACUUAGCUGGAUAAAUAGGGGUGCUCUCCCCCAAGCUGGAUUUUGACAUAAUUUCUUCUGAUGUAGCUAGCAGGUGGCGGAGGUGUAUUUGAAUGUCGGCAGCACUCUGACAGCGAUUAGGAUGUCCUUCGUCUGCUAGUCUUCUUUGAUCCUUGAAUUCUGUGGAGCUCAAAUAGACAACAAAGCUUUGUGGAACUAGUUAAGUGUUAGCAUAAAUAUCUAACCUUUAUCAUGUUGAGCCUCCUCAAUAAAUGUUACUCAUUAGUAGGAUCAUAAUUUUAUUUUUAUAAUUUUAUUUUUAUAGGACAGGAAUAUAUUUAUUUUAUUUUUAUGCCACCACAGUGAAUGUACUUAUGGGUUUUAUGCCAUGAGCAUACUCACAUGGGGCUUACUAUUUUUAACAUUUUUAUUUUCUUUUUAAGAUGAUAUGAACCUGAUUAACUAAGCAAACUAUUUUAAAUAAUUGAAAGGGAAAAAGGAUAACUACCAAGUUUAACUCUUACCAAGGCGUUCGGUGUUUUUAAGUCCUCCGAAUAGGACUCUCUAUUUUCUCAGUUGUCCUGGGAUUCGCUGGAUGGCGUAGUUAGUGGUUCCGGCAGCGCCUGGUCUUCAUGUAUAACUAUCUUCUCUCUCCACACCUGACACGGUGCUACGGUCUCCUCAGGACAGUUCUGUUCAAGUUGUAUGUCUUCAGACCUUACCACUUCUCCUUCAUAAUCCGCCCAUUCGUCCUUGAUAAUUUGCCUACUCUGGUUGCGGUUGCGUCGUCUUCUUCUUGUCCUGACCUGCUUAGAGUCUUUCAACUAUGUAGUUAAGGUUAGUAAAAUAGUGGCGUACCUUUUCAGAGGGGAAGUGCAUGUGGACUCCGCCGGUUCCAAUGUAGAUGAUUGCUUUAACGGUGUUGAGGAACGGUCUUCCAAGGAUGAUGGGUGGAUCGUACUCGUCUUCUCCUAUGUCAAUAACUUCAACCUUCCGAAAUGUUUGAUCUGCCAUCUGGAGCUGGGUGUAUGUUGGUUAUAGGGGCAUGGUUCCAUGCAGGAGCUAAUAAGUGACUGCGGCCAUUAUGUUGGCGUCAGAUCCGGUGUCGUAGAGUGUCUUCUCAAAAGAAUAUCCGUUGAUUGUGCACUUGAUGCUUGGAACACCAGGGUCGUCCUUCUUGAUCAAGAAAGGUGACUUGAGUUGACGAUCUUGACCUUCUUGAGCUGCAGUGACCAUCUUAGCUGACUCAGUCCACAUUUGCUUGUUUCUGUUCCUCCUGUUGGUCCUCUUCCUUGGUUCAUGUCGGGAAUGCUCUGAGAUUUGUGCGGUCUUGUUCUUGAAGGAAAACGUCUCCUUCCUCCCCUUGAUGUAGAAACUGAUCUUGGCAGCACUAGCGUAGAUGAUAGCUCCCGAGGUGUUCAGGAAUGGCCUCCCAAGGAUGAUGGGUGCCCUCUCAACAGUACCAGUCUCUAUCCUCACGAAGUCUGCUAGGGCGCACAAGGUACCAACUCGGACGUAGAGGUUCUUCAAUAUUCCCUUUGGGAAACUUAGUGUCUGAUCUGCAGGCUGCAAGCACACGGUUGUUUCUAGUAAAGGAUGUGUAAAGAAUUUUUUUCAUAGAGUACCUUGGGCAUAAUGUUGACGCUGGAGCCAAAGUCACAGAGUGCUUCUAGGAAGUCCACCAUGUCGAUGGAGAUCGGGAUGACGGGGCGUCCUGGGUUGUCUCUCUUGACCGGCAGAAGGUCAGUAAUUACUUCCACUACGGGGUUACUCCAGUAGUUACGUCCUCAAGCAUCUCAGGGCAGUGAUUGCUUGAGUGUCUAGUAUCUCCAGUGUGUUUGUGGUCCUAGAUCUAGGUUCUUCACUUAGUAGAGUCUAGGAGUUGUAAAACUCCUUCAUAUUUUGCUCGAAGUGUACCUGCUCAUAGAGACAAGGCAGAGAUCAAGUGCAUGGGCCCUGUUGGUGGAAAACACCAACAAAACUAAAAGUGUAUUUGUUCUCUCUAACCUUAAGCAUAGUGAGCAAGACAAAGUUGAUGGAUAAUAAGAUCAUGAGUGUAGCAUUUAAAACAUUUGUCAGAUCAGAUCGCUCAACCUAAUGGAAAGAUAAUCUAUCUAUAUUUAUGUUGUUUUUUAUAUAUCUUCCAAAGAUUGUGUGUGCAACAUUUUAGCUCAUAUGAUUAGGAUUGUGGGAUCACAAAGGUGGAAGGACUAAACAUGUUGAACCGAUUGGGUUGGUUAAUCUAGAGUUGUAAAUCAUACAUGUUUGUCUCUUUUAUUCAUGUGAACGCUAGAACCAAGAAGAAGCUUAUAAAAGUGAUAGUCAAGUACCUUAAGAUGUUACCUUAAUUGAAGAAUGAUGGUACCAUCUCACCUUGUAGAAGCUUUCCUUUCUUAGAGGUUGUGCAUCGUGAUUGUGGCACCCUCCAUGGAUCAUCUCUUGUGAGCUAUGCCUUCCUUGUGUAAAUUGUUAAUCUAAAUGUGUCUCUCUCUUUGUCUCCAAUGUGAGUUUAUCUCGGGACUUCCCAGGUCGAUAGUGAAAGUUUUCCUUGUGCUUGUCAUUCAUCCGAUCUUCUUGCUCCAAUCCUAGAAAGGUUAGUGACAAUAAUAACCGAAGGAAUGUUUUUACAAUUAUCCUUAUAUGCUCAACACACAAGGUAAUGUUGCAAAUAAUUAAAAGCUCAUGUUACGAUCUGAUCAGUGCUUGUUUUAGGACACUAAGCUUGUCCUUGGGAAACCAUCAAUUUAUGUCGGCGAAGUGGUUUCCCCUCCAACGCUGACCUAUAUCAAGAUCAACUCAACGACAUCUGCAAUAUUUGAUAUAGACAUAUGCAUCGACAACCGCCCUUUUAAAGUUUUUAUAAAUAGAAAGGAUGAGGGGGUUGGAGAUCUCGAAUGUGGUGAUGUUGGAAAAACCAAUGGAUUGCGAAGAUGUUGCAUAUGAGCAUGGAGUAAAUGAAGUGGCUAUGAAAUAAAUUCCAUGCUCAUUAAUGCUUAGAGUGAAAUCCAUGUGGUAUGGUGAAAAUGAUAAGGUGAGUGUGGUAAAAAAGGAAAAGAAAAAGGAUACACGGACGACUUGGUUCGAAACUAGCACAGCUACCGUUCCCCGGCAACGGCGCCAGAAAGCUUGUUGGGUAUUUUAAACGCAAACAGAAAAAUCCGCAAGCGCACGGAUACCGAUGUAGCUUUCAUCCGGGAGUAUUCCAGAGUAUUGAUUUCCACAGAGAACGUGAGUGUACUAAUUAAGACCCAAGAUCGCCCAAGGAUAACUAUAUAAUUAUUUUUGGUGGGAAGAGAGGAAGUUUCCUGAGAGUUCUCUAGUUGAUCUAAGAAUCAAGAAUUACUUCAAGAUUAUCUAUAUCGGGACAUCAGAGCACUAACCAUAGAAAGAGAUGAGAAGGGGGCUAGGAAGGUCUGACUACGGUCCUACAAACACCGAUCCGAACGUGGUGGAAUACGUCGACCGUUAGGGCUGUCACUACCCUAAGGCUACCACAACAAUCCGCAGGAUUGGGUGCAAUUCCAGGUAAUCGCAAGACUAAACACCACGUCUAAUGUAUUAAUUACUACUCUAGCGUUAUAAAGACUAGAGCACUUGAUGCAAGCGAGAAUCCAAUAAAUAACUUGAAUGUAAAUAAAAGUAAUUAAAGAACUCAGGAAUUAUGAGUUGAAGAACCUGGAGAACGAUGAAGAACGAACCAGUUGCUGCAAAAGUACAAUGUUGAGGAAGAUCCGACAGAUCUGGCUCCUCCUUCUCCGCUCUCCUCUUCUCUCUCCCUAUUUUCUUGAUUACAACUAGAACUAACUAGAACUAGAACUAGAGGAACUAGAACUAGAACUAGAUGAACUAGAACUAGAACUAGAUGAACUAGAGGUAGAACUUGAAGAACUAGAGGGAUCCUCUCUACUUGUAUGAAGAAUUGAAACCCUAACUUUGAUUCCGUAGAAGAGGUAUGCCUCCAGGGGCUGGUGGGGGUCUGCUUAUAUAGUCCAGGAAGAGUAGCCCCCAAGAAAUCUAGGAAGAGUAGCCCCCAAGAAAUCUAGGAAGAGUAGCUCCCAAGGAAUUUCCACGUUAUUCUCCACCAUCCGAUCAAACCGACCUUCAUCGUGUGAUUUUCCUCGAUCCUUAGAGUCGGUGGAGCAUAAUCCCCGAGACUCGUGCUGAUUGGCCAGCAGAGGAGGGCGGGCGCCCAGGGGGGUAGGGCGGGCGCCCUGCCUCCGGGCCCGCUCGGCCUCCCGUUCGUUCCCGUGGCUUCUGGAGUCUUCUAGAUGAUAGAAAAUUGCGCGGCACGUUAAUAUCUCUAUGUAAUCCCGACGUGUGGGCCUUUCUUCCGUAUUUCCUGAUAAAUCCCUGCAGAAAUAGACAAACACCAAAACUCGUGGAAUUCUGUCAGAUAAAACCCUAAGUCUGGGUGUUGGUUGCAUUUGGAUCCUUUUCCAUGAUUAAUUGAUGGUUAAAUGUGAGCAUUAAGGACCGUCAACAACUAGCAGACGGAGGACAUUCUAAUCGCUGUCAAAAUACUGCUGACUUUCAAGCACACCUCUACCACCUGCUAGCUACAUCAAGAGAAAUUACGUCAAAAUUCAGCUUGGGGGAGAGCACCCCCAUUUAUCUCGAUAUGUAUUUCUAUCUAUCUUUAUGCUUAUACUAUAUUAGAAUAUAAAUACACAUAACUAUGAAAAACCAAAUAAAGAUUUUAUGCUUAUAUAAUUUUGCUUAGUGUGUUUAAUAAAUAAAUAAAGUUGCUAUGCUAAUCUGUAUCUAAUAAAACUUAAGCAUGGAUAUGAUGAAUAGUUGCUCUGCCUAAUUUGCAAAUUUGAAGUUCUCUCUCAAGUUUAGAUAUAACUGUUAUAAUUUAAGGCUUGCUCUAGACCUAAACUUGUGGGAUGAAAACUUGAUCUGAAGUCUAAGUUGUUAACGGAUACGAUAUGGGAAGGUUGAGCUGCUGUUCAUCUGUUCCUAGAGAUGCUAGAAUUCUGGAGAAUUUUAUCUUUGAAAAAUCUUUAAAAUAACACAUGAUGAGUUCCUGUAUGAUGAGAGUUUAAAUUCCUACCAUAGCCAUAUAUACAUGCUUAUUAGACUUUGAGCCACACAUUUACUUUUUACUGCUUAUGAGCAUUGAGUGUGGUCAAGCUGUGUAGACCCUUAGGAGCUUGUCAUGUGGUUAAAUCAAGAUUCACUUACACAUUCACUCAUACAUGCUACUUCUACUCCGGAAGUACCAUCCACAUAUAUCCACUCAUUUCCAUCUCCAAAACCACCCAAACGUAUUCUACUCCUAAUCCAGGAGAGAAUAACCAAAAAUAUUUCUGUUUCCCCUUGUGAAAUAAAUGCUCAAGUUAUCUUGUUACUACCACUUGCUAUAUUAUCUCAAGAGAUGAAUGCUCUGAAAAAAAAAGAGAAAAAGAAAAUAAAAGAUACGAGGAAAUAAAAAGGAGCAAGUGCUCGGAACCUCGAAAGAAAAGAAAAAGAAGAGCAUCUCAUUCUCCUCAUAAAGUUUCAAAAGCAAGGAAGGUAUGUAUUCCCUCAAAGAGCAAAGUAGAAUUAGACUUCCACCACCAUUGUUAUCACCAUUAUCACCAUACACCAUUCAUUCGCCACACAUUCACAUCUUGAUUUGGCUUAUUGAUUUGUUUCUUUGGAUCCAUGGUUUGACUAUGCAAUAAAUGUCUUGUAAGUAUGUAUACUUUAUCUCCCACCUAUGAGCUUCAGAUAUUAAAGCCUUAUUAGAGUAGGGUGAGAGAGAAGACAAUGACACUAUGCUUCAUACCACAAAUACUACAUAUCUUGAGAGAAGGCAUAUACCAUCACUGCCUUGGUAAGGAUCCAAAAAAAAUACCACAAAAGAGAGACCUGAGAGAAUCAUACAAGGAAUUUCUGAGUUUUAUUUGAAAAUCUGCAAAAAUCCCAGAGCUAUAGCUGAUCAAGAAUAAGAGACAUGGCACUUGGCUAGACUGUUCUAUCUUUUAACCACUCAAGACAGAAGUGACGGUUACAAGUCCUAUGGUGUAGGUAAAGUAAGUAAGUUUUAAGUCUUAACAGUUUAUUCUAACUCAGAGAUGAGAUCUUGCUUAAAUGCGUGUGUACUUCUAAGAAAUGAAACCACUGCAGAAACUCUUGAGUUCAUCCUUGCUCAGGGACGAGCAAGAGUUAAGCUUGGGGGAGUUUGUUGACGGUCCUUAAGUAUCAAAUUUAAUUAUCAAAUAAACAAAGAAAAGGAUCCAAAUGAAAUCAACAUCUAGACUUAGGGUUUUAUCUGACAGAAUUCCACGAGUUUUGGUGUUUGUCUAUUUCUGCAGGGGGUUAUCAGGAAAUAAGGAAGAAAGGCCCACAUGUCGGGAUUACAUAGAGAUAUCGACCCACCUCGCAAUUUUCUACCAUCUAGAAGACUCCAGAAGCCACGGGAAGGAAGCGGAGCUCGAAAGGGGCCAGGCCCAGGGCGCCCGCCCUGAGGACCUGGGCGCCCGCCCCCCUCUGGACUCCGUUCCGGACUCUCUUCGCACACGACGUUCCACCGACCUAUUGGAUCCAGAAUAACAUAGUACCACCUCGCCUAUCGACCCAAAAACGCAUAGAAGGGGAGGACUAUAUAAGGAGACCCCCUCUGGCCCCUAGAGGAGACAAGAAAUUAUCAUAGAGAUUGAGGGGUGCCCUCGAAGGAAAACCUCUUCUCUAAAUAAUAUUUCUUUUUAGGCUUAGCAACCAAUGUAAGGUAGAAAUAGAUCUUCUAGUUUCUACUAGAUUGAGAGAGAUAGAGUGGAGGUGUGGAUCGGAGGAAGGCCGGCCUGUCGGUGUCUACUCCGAGUUGUACCUACGGGAUCAAUUCUCCUAACUCGAGUCUUGCUUCUAAGAUUCUUCAGUAAUUCGACUUCUAAUGCUAGUAAGUUCUUGUUUUAUUAUUCUUUGGUUUAUGAGUUUACUUUAAUCCUCUUCCGGUUGAGUAUUAGAGUAAUCACUUGUUAGCGUAAACGUGGUGUUUAGGCUAGGGUACUCAUAGAUAUCCCCUGACUAGCUGGACCGUGGUAGUAGCGAGGAACGUGACAUUUCCGAGUUACCUUUGCAGAUCACAUCUCGUUAGCAGGACGGGUAGGUUUAUAGGUGCGGGUCGAACAUCCUUUGUGUUGUCUAGAUUCCGUGAGCCUCCCCAAUAGAACAGUAGAUCAUCCUUACCAAGGUUAGAACGAGACUAAGGUUGCAGUCUUCUCUAUACAUCACUCACAUCGAGACACAUUCUUUGUAGCCUAAAGGGGUAGUAGCAAUAGAUUUGGUUAGUCAGAUGCACCCUUUCUCCCAGUGGUAAAAAUAUAAAUACGAUAACUCUGGAAAACCUCCCGGGUGAAAUGCUCACCGAUAUCCGUGCGCUUGCGGAUCAUUUCCUUAUUGUGUUACCAAAUAUCAACAGCUACAGCUGGAUGAGCAUUCUUAUCACUUACCAUAUCACAAGCCACAGCUCUUGUGGAGAAGAUGGCGUCCAAUCAAGGCUAGAAUGAAGAGAGAACCCAGACACUCAAGAGAGGUGGAGGUAUGCAUCAGCUCAAGGAGGUAGACAUGUUGUCUUCAAAGGUAGACCUGCUCAUGAAGAAGCUCGACGAUAGAGCUAGAGAUAAGAAGGAAGUUAUGCACAUCUACGACUCCCACAUGACUUGUGAGGAGUGUGGAGAUACUGGACACUCAGGCAAUCACUGUCCUGAGAUGCUUGAGGAUGUGAACUACAUCAUCAACAACAACUACUACUACUACAACCGUCCUCAACAAAAUCAAGGUUGGAAGCAACAGGGGCCUAACUACUCAGGUAAUUAUCAAGGUAACAAUUCUUACAACAAUAAUAAUAAUUUUCCACCUUUGAGAGAGUUAGUGUCUAAUAAUGGAAAGCUAAUGGAUAACCUAUCUAAGAAAUUGGCAUCUAAUGAUAAAAUGCUAGAAAAUAUAAAUAAUAGAAUGGAUAAUUCCUCUACUACCAUCAAGAAUCAAAUUCGCUUUAAUAAAAUGAUUGAAUCUCAGUUAAAUCAAAUAGCUGCUGCUGUUCCUGCUACUAACCCCGGUAUACCAUCACAACCGGAAGGAUUAGAAUCUGCAAAUCUUGUAGACAUGUUUGAUGCAGGUAAUAACUGGAGUAACCCCGUCACUGAAUUCACUACUGACCUUCUGCCGGUCAAGAAAGGCGAUCCCGGACGCCCCGUCAUCCUGAUUUCCAUCAGCAUGGUGGACGUCCCACAAGCACUCUGCGACUUUGGCUCCAGUGUCAACAUUAUACCCAGGGUACUCUAUGAAAAAUUCUUUACAUAUCCUUUAUUAGAAACAAACAUGUGUUUGCAGUUUGCAGAUCAGGCGAUAAGUUUUCCAAAAGGAAUAUUGAAGAACCUUUGUGUCCGAGUUGGUACCUUGUACGCCCCAGCAGACUUCGUAGUGGUAGAGACCGGUAAUGAUGAGAGGGCACCCAUCAUCUUAGGGAGGCCAUUCUUAAACACCACGGGAGCUAUCAUCUAUGCCAGUGCUGCCAAGAUCAGUUUCUACAUCAAAGGGAGGAAGGAGACGUUUUUCUUCAAGAACAAGACUACACAAAUCCCAGAUCAAUCCAGACGUGAAUCAAGGAAGAGGACCAACAGGAGGAACAAGAACAAGCAAGUGUGGACCGAGUGAGCUAAGAUGGUCACUGCAGUCCAUUGAGGCCAAGAUCACCAACUUAAGUCACCGUUUUUGACCAAGAAGGACGACCUAGGAAUGCCAAGUAUCUAUUGCUCCAUAAAUGGAUACAACUUCUACAAGACGUUUUGCGACACCGGAUCGGGUGUCAACAUAAUGGCUGCAGUCACCUAUCGGCUCUUGUUCGGAACCAUGCCCUUAAAACCAACAUACAUUCAGCUCCAGAUGGUAGAUCAGGUAUUUCGAGAAGUUAAAAGAACAGUAACUGAUGUCCCAGUCAAAAUAGACGAUCAUUUUGUCUACACAGACUUUCAGGUUAUUGACAUGGGAGAACAUGAGUACGAUCCACCCAUCAUCCUUGGAAGACCGUUCCUCAGCACCGUUAAAGCAAUCAUCUACAUUGGAACUGGAGAAGUCCAUAUGCACUUCCCCUCAGAGAAGGUACACCGUUAUUUUAUUGACCCUAACUAUAUUGUUGAAGAAUCUAAGCAGGUAAGAAAACGACGCAACCGCAACCAGAGGAGGCAAAUCAUCAAGGACGGAUGGGCAGACUAUGAAGGAGAAGUUGUAAGGUCAGAAGACAUAGAGUUUAAACAGAAUUAUCCAGAGGAGACCGUAGCACCGAGUCAGGUAUGGAAAGAGAAGAUAAUACAUGAAGAGGAGGCGCUGCCGGAAGUACCGACUCCGCCACCCAACGAAUCCCAGGACAAUUGAGAAAACGGAGAGUCCCAUUCGGAGGACUUAAAAACCCUGAACGCCUUGCCAAGAGGUAAACUUGGUAGUUAUCCUUUCCCUUUCAAUUAUUUAAAAUAGUUUGCUUAGUUAAUCAUGUUCGUAUUAUCUUAAAGAGAAAAUAAAAAUAUGAAAAACAGUAAGCCCCAUGUGAGUAUACGAGUGACAUGAAACCCAUAAGUACAUUCACUGUGGUGGCAUAAAAAUAAAUAUUUCUAUUCUGCUUUAUAAAAUGAAAAUAUAAAAAUAAGGAGUAAUAAUUAUUAAAGAGUCUCAACAUGAUGAAGGCUAGAUAUUUAUGCUAAUACUUAAUCUGUUCCACAAAGCUUUGUUGUGUAUUUGAGCUCCACAGAAUUUAAGAAUCAAGAAGACUAGCAGACGGAGGACAUUCUAAUCGUUGUCAAGAUACUGCCGACUUUCAAAUACACCUCUGCCACCUGCUAGCUACAUCAAAAGAAAUUACGUCAAAAUUCAGCUUGGAGGAGAGCACCCCCAUUUAUCCCGCUAAGUAUUUCUAUCUAUCUAUCUUUAUACUUAUACUAUUUUAGAAUAUAAAUAUACAUAAACCAAGAAAAACCAAAUAAAGAUUUUGUGCUUAUAUAUAUAUCUUUUGCUUAGUGUGUUUCAUAAACAAAUAAAGUGGCUAUGCUCAUCUGUAUAUUAAUAAUAAAACUCUAGCAUGGAUAUGAUGAAUAGUUGCUCUGCCUAAUUUGCAAAUUUGAAGUUCUCUCUCAAGUUCAGAUAUAACUGUUAUAAUUUAAUGCUUGCUCUAGACAUAAACUUGUGGGAUGAAAACUUGAUCUGAAGUCUAAGUUGUUAACGGAUACGAUAUGGGAAGGUUGAGCUGCUGUUUAUCUGUUCCUAGAGAUGCUAGAAUUCUGGAGAAUUUUAUCUUUGAAAAUCUUUAAAAUGUUGCAUGAUGAGUUCCUAUAAGAUGAGAGUUUAAAUUCCUACCACAGCCAUAUAUACAUGCUUGCUAGACUUUGAGCCACACAUUUACUAUUUACUGCUUAUGAGCAUUGAGUGUGGUCAAGCUGUGUAGACCCUUGCACGUUCACUCAUAUAUGCUGCUUCUACUCCGGAAGUACCAUCCACAUAUAUCCACUAAUUUCCAUCUCUAGAACCACCCAAAAAAACUAUUCUACUCCUAAUCCGGGAGAGAAUAGCCAAAAAUAUUUCUAUUUUUCCCUUGUAAAAUGAAUGCUCAAGUUAUCUUGUUACUACCACUUGCUAUAUUAUCUCAAGAGAUGAGUGCUCUUAAAAAAAGAGAAGAAAGAAAAGAUACGAGCAAAUAAAAAGGGGCAAGUGCCCGGAACCUCGAAAGAAAAAGAAAAAGUGAGACGAGAGGUAAAAAUGGACAAGUGUCCGACAGUAGAAUUAGGGGUACAAGAUACCCACCUGAGAGGAAAGAAAAAGAAAAAGAUAGAGCAUCUCAUUCUCCUCAUAAAGUUUCAAAAAGCAAGGAAGCUAUGUAUCCCCUCAAAAGAGCAAAAGUAGGAUUAGACUUUAACCAUUGUUAUCACCAUCAUCACCAUACACCAUUCAUUCGCCACACAUGCACAUCUUGAUUAAAUUUAUUGACUUGUUUCUUUGGAUCCAUGGUUUGACUAUGCAAUACAUGUCUUGUAAGUAUGUAUACUUUAUGUCCCACCUAUGUGCUCCAGAUAUUAAAGCCUUAUUAGAGUAGGGUGAGAGAGAAGACAAUGUCACUAUGCUUCAUACCACAAAUACUACAUACUUUUGAGAGAAGGCAUAUACCAUCACUGCCUUGGUAAGGAUCCAGAAAUAACACAAAAGAGAGAUAUGAGAGAAUCAUACAAGGAAUCUCUAAGUUUUAUUUGAAAAUCUGCAAAAACUACAGAGCUAUAGCUGAUCAAGAAUAAGAGACAUGGCACUUAACUAGACUGUUCUAUCUUUUAACUACUCAAGACAGAAGUAACAGUUACAAGUCCCAUGGUGAAAGGUAAAGUAAGUAAGUUUUAAGUCUUGAUAGUUUACUCUAACUCAGAGAUGAGACCUCAUUUAAAAGCAUGUGUACCGUCAAAUUUUAAAGAUAUUGCAACAACUUCUGAUCCAUUACUGAGUCUAACCUUGCUCAGGGACGAGCAAGAGGUAAGCUUGGGGGAGUUUGUUGACGGUCCUUAAGUAUCAAUUUUAAUUAUCAAAUAAACAAAGAAAAGGAUCCAAAUGAAAUCAACAUCUAGACUUAGGGUUUUAUCUGACAGAAUUCCACGAGUUUUGGUGUUUGUCUAUUUGUGCAAGGGGUUAUCAGGAAAUAAGGAAGAAAGGCCCACACGUCGGGAUUACAUAGAGAUAUUAACGUGCAGCGCAAUUAUCUUACAUCUAGAAGACUCCAGAAGCCAUAGGAAGGAAGCG
Molecule: long non-coding RNA, 54279 nt
Filed under: Sorghum bicolor (sorghum)
Lineage: Eukaryota; Viridiplantae; Streptophyta; Magnoliopsida; Poales; Poaceae
Description: long non-coding RNA (SBIC_LNC006589)
Source: RNAcentral